AAAGGAAAAGGGCAAAAUUGGGAAUUCACCUAAUAUUUUAUUCAUCCAUGAUACAUGGCUUAUUGUUUGAGACACAAGUGAAAAUAAGGGAUUACAAGGAAAAAGGAUAAAAAAAUUACAUCAUUUUGGUAUUGUUGACUUUUUGGUCAACUUUUGACUUUUGGUCAACUUUUGACCAUUGACUCAAUUUUGGAUCCUAAAUAUUCCCAGACCUAUCCCACAUUCAUUUGAUCAUAAGAGUCCAUAAUUUUCAUGAAAAAACAAUUAUGUCAUGAACAUGUUUCAUGAAAGGAUUUUCAACACUUUCCAUCCUUCAAGCUCUCUUUUCACGACUUUUUCUCCUUCUUCCCUUGGGGCUUCAAGAUAAUUCUUCCACCACUUUGUUUACCUUGCUACAAGGAAGAGAAUGAAACAAGCCAGUCACCAAUCUCAUCAAUCAAAAUCAUCCAAAAGCUAUGGAAAAGUCACACAAAAAAUUGCAUAAACACUUGGAAAAGUUUUGGCAUGACAUCUCUAUUUUCUCAAACUUAUUCAUACACACAAAAAUUGGGAAUUUGAUCCAUAAUUUGCAUCAUUCAAAAUUACUUAUUUCCAACAACAAAUCAAUUCCCAACAACACUUGAAGACGUAUGAUGAUUCACAAAAAAAUCCAAUUCCAAAAGCAUUAAAAAUCAAGGCAAAUCAAAGCAUAAAUUCAAUUAUUUGCAAGUUCCAAGUUUGUGAUCAUUCACCUUACCCCUAAACUUGGUACUUAUGCUAAAAUCAAACAUGUCUUGCUUCUAACUAUCCUUAACGACCUAUUUUAACACAACCAUGCAUUUACUUUUAUCCUUAUCCUCCCUAACUAACUCUAACUUCCUUAAAGUUCACAAACUAACACAAAACUAAGCAAGUUUUAAUCAAACCUCAACCAUUGAUAACAAUUAAUCUAAUGGCUAAGCUUAAUGAUUCACAACUAACAUUUUGAUUAAUUUCUAACCGUUGAUAAAGUGAUGAGUUGGAUCAUAAUCCAAUAAACCAUAAUCAACCAAAAAAUCUAUAUAAUCCUUCUUCUUUUUUUCCAUUUUUGGAGGUUAAUGACUCUAACCUUUUUUUCACCAUUUUUUGCUUAUAACCUCUAAAUUUUAUCUUAACCUUUUCACCAUUUCCAUCACCUCCACCAAAGUUCAUCACCAUUACCAUUUAGAAUUUCACAUUGAAAUUCUAGUUUUGGUAGAACUCAACCACAAGUAUUCAACAAUUAUCAUUCAACAACUCAAGAUUCAUCACAAUUCUCAAUAACUCAGGUGUUCAUCAAUUUUCAACAAUCUCAUCAAGAUUCAAGCAUGGAUCGCUUUUCUACCAUAUCCUAAUUUCCAUCUUUUAAUCAUCAAUAUUCAUCUUAUCAUUUAGAAGCAUAAUAAAAGGAUUACUUCUUGAAGUUUUUCCAGAUUUUGCUUCUUUUCGGUAAAAUUACAAUGUGCACCAGAGAAAAUUUAGGCUUCGUUGAUAAGCCUUGAACCUUUAAUAUUUCCAUGCCAUUACCAUGCAUCAUCUUGUGUGGUUGAUCUUGUUAAUUGCAUGUGGUGAAACCUUUAGAUUAUGCUAUUGUUUUAAGGUUAAACAAUAGUUUAAUUAUUCAAGAUUUGAUCAUUAAAGUAGCAUGAAUAUGAACAUAACGUAGUCUUCUCUAUAGUCUAACAAGGAUUUGCACUUAACAUAGCAAUAGACUUAUAGUUAGUAUAGCAAUAACUUUGAUUUAGGCAUGGAGUAAAAUAGUUUUUUUUACGUAAGCAUUUAUUUCCAAAGAAAAUCAAAGUGCAAGUAACAUAGAAACUAGCUUAACAAAUAGUCUCUAACUCUUAGCAUAAUCAUUGACAUAGAAUUAACGUACUUGACAUAGAGAUUAAACAAGUCCAAAACAGAAAAUUAGCUUCAUGAAAACAAACAACUUUUUUCCAUAAGUACUUAUUUGCAUUUCAAAAAAAUCAACUUUUCAAGUGGUAAUUAGAAUGACAAUUUCUAGCAUAAUUUUAGCAUUCAAUUUACAUGAUUUACUUUGAGUUAGCACUAAUAGAUUGUUAGAAUAAUUCAUUUUUCUACGAUUUCCAAACAUGUCUUAACAUAAAAAAAAAAGUUAUUUUUUUUUAAUCCCAACAUCUCCAAUCCAUCCUAAACAAUGAAAAUCAUCAAAAAUAAACACUCAAUCAUGAAAAUUCAUAACAAUUCAAGCAUGGAACACUUUUAUUUGAACAUUUUUGAGCAAGAUUUGGAUUUUUUUCCACUUACCUCAAAACCUUGGAGAAGCAUCAAUGGAGCUUGGAAGAAUUGGAGAAGAUGAAAAAUCACAACACCCCUUGGAGAAGGGAGGACCGCCGCCGGUCGGCCCCGCAAGGAAACCACCCUCGCGGCCGGGUGGAAGUGCACAACGGCACUUUUUUUCCCUUUCUUCUACGACCUUUCACAUUAAGCUAAGUAGGGAGAGGGGAUAAUAUGGAUCGGUUCGGUCUGGUCUAGUGAACCGGCCGGCCGAUCCGGUUCGGUUGGGGGGUUUUCCUUUUUAUUUUAUUUUAUUUUAUUUUAUUUUAAGUGCAACUUUUCAUGUCUUUUAGUGCAGCCCAUUUUUUCUUUUGUUUUUUAAUUGCAGCCCAAUAUAACCUUAAGCCCAUAUUUUCUCUACACCUCACUUUGGUCCUAAACCUCCAUAAUCUCCUCUUAAUUUGUUUUUUUCUUAAUUGUUUUCAUAUUGUUUUAGGUUAUAAUUAGGAUAGAAUUAGAGAUUAAUUAGAUUGUUAAUUGGGUUAGUUAAAAUAUUGUUUUAGGUGAUUUAGAAUUUUUAGAUUUUUAGAAUUAAUAAUUAAUUAGAAUAUGAUUCGAGGUUAAUUAGGGACUUAGUUUUUUAGAAAUGACUAGGUUUUAGAAUUCAAUUAGAGUAAUUAGAAUUUUUAGAACUUAAUUGGGGUUUAGAAAUAAUUCGAAUUAAAAAACUUAGGAUUAGAAUAAUUAGAAUUUUAAUCUUGUUAGUUAGACUUUAGAUAUUUAAUUUAAUUAAUUUUUUUGAACUUGAUUUAAGUUUUAAAAAUUAAUUAGAUUAAUUAAUUUUUAGAACUUGUUUAGGUUCUUGAAAUUAAUUAGAUUGGUUAAUAUUUAGAACUUGAUUUAUGUUUUAGAAAUUAAUUAAAUUAAUUAGUUCAUUAAAAAUUGUUUAGAUUUUUAACUUCUAAUUAGAUUUGUUAAUAUGAUUAGAAACAUUAGAUUUUAAUUGAUUAGUGAUGAUGUUAAUUAGGUUUUAACUAAUUAAUCUUUUGUUGUACAUAAUUACCAACUAAUUCAAUCCCUUUGAAUAAGGUGAUCAAAAGAAAUUUUGAUUAGCUAAAUCCUUUGAUCUUUGUAUAAUCCCACAGUCAAUUCAAGUGAUCAAAAGUUUAUUGAUGACUUGAUAGGACUAGUGCUCGCAAUGUUGUGGAUCUUAAGACCAUAAGUUCAGACUUUAAAUCAAGGCAUCCCAUACAAAUCAAACAGUGGAUUAUACAAAGCAUAUCAAAAGUGUUUCUUCAAGAGCUUGUCAGUCAAGAUUCAAAUUGUACGCCAUGAGCUUCAAGUAACAAAGAAUGAUGAGAGUGGAGAAUUCAUAUCCUUGUCUAGGGUAUCUUUGGGUACGGGACGAAUGACCCAGUUGCUCAAGGUAUUCGCCUUUGUUCAUAGACUUUAAUGCAAUUCGUACCGAAUGAUUGAUAAGGUCUUAAUCAUCACAAGGAGCGACAAUGAUUCUUUUUAAACAACUUGAAAGUUAUGAUGGGAAUCACAUGUUACGAGCCUUAAGUAAAAAAGAAUGAUGAGAGUGGAGAAUUCUUAUCCUUGUCUAGGGUAUCCUUGGGUACGAGACGAAAUACCAGUUGCUCAAGGUAUUUGCCUUUGUUCAUAGACUUUAGUAUGGUUCAUAUCAAAUGACUGCCAUGUCUUCUUCAUCUUCUAUUAUCAUACCAUUCCUCUUGCCUCAGCCUUUUGCUGUCAGCCGUAGUAGGCUGAACUACAAAUGCUCUGACUUUCUCAUUGCACAGUAAGAAUACAUAGGCACGAGGAUUCGGAUUCUCCGCGAGUUAUCUUAUUUAUUUCUACCUCAGUUGUUAUCAUUCAUCAAUCAAUACCUUCUUUUUGAGAUCAAAUAUAUUAUUCCUUGGAUUCCAUGCACAUCCUUUUAGGACGAUUUAAUCGGAGUCUACCUUGUGAACCAAGAGCUGUUUGGCAUAUUACAAUAUACUUAAUUCCUUUGUUUUUUGUUAUUACAAUACAGUGAUACCAUGCCUUAGGCCCCUCACUUGUUGGUUUACCUUUAAUCUUCAGUUCAAAGUGUAUUCCUUCAUGGAUUCAAUAUAUCAUUCUUUGGUUUCAAAUUGUUUAUUCCUUACAGUGAUAUAUUGUUCCUUAUACCAAUCAACACUUUCCUUUGGGCCCCAUACAUAUCCUUUUAGGAAGAUUUAAUAGAAGUCCACCUUGUGAAUCAAAGGGUGUUUGGCUGUCAAACCAGACAUUUAAUCCCCUUUGUUUCCGGUCAUUCCAAUACAGUGAUAUCAUGCCUUAUGCCCUUCACUUAUUGGUUUGUCUGUUUACUCUUUGGUUAAAAGUUAAUUUGCCUUUAUGGUUUCCCAAUCAUCAAUUAUCUCUCUCUUUGUUUUCGUGGUUCCACGAACUACAAAUGCUCUGACUUUCUCAUUGCAUAGUGAGAAUACGUAGGCACGAGGAUGCGAAUCCUUGGCGAACAUAUUCCUAUUUAUUUCUCGCUCUUAUGCCUUAGGGCACCAUCCAUAUCUUUCAUGAUCCAUAACCUACCUUUAAUCAUGAUCAUUCACCUUAGUGACAUACUCCCUUUCUUUGGAACCAAAUACAUACUUCUUUAGAGUUCCAUACAUACCCUUUUAGUAUAAUUGUCCACCUUUGUGCCAAGAGUUAUUUGGCUUAUUGUCAAACAUUUAAUGCCUUGUUUUCGACCCAACCAUACACUAAUAUCAUGCCUUAGGCCCCUCACUUGUGGUUUGUUCCACCUUUACUUUGUGGUUGCAAAUAAUAUUUCUCUUAUGGAUUCCAAUAUAGCCUUACAUUUAGUUCCAAAUUAUACCAUUCAGUAACUUUUAUCAAACCCUUCAUUUCUUGGACUUUGGAUACUUUUCUCUAUCAUUCUAUUCAUCUCCAUGAUGCAUUCAUUCACUCGAUGUGAUAUACUAGUUAUCUUUGAUCCAAAUAAACUAUUUCUUUGAGCUUCAUCUUGUGUAUGCUUGUGAACCAAGAGUUGUUUGGCUUAUUGCCAGACACUUAAUUCUUUUGUUCCAGUUAUUCCAAUACAAUGAUACCAUGCAUUAGGCACCUCACUUAUUGGUUCAUACCAGUUUUACUCUUGGGUUCAGAUUUCAUCCAUGUUUGGAGUAAAACAAUAUUAUCCUUUGGUUCAGACAAUACCUUUAUCACUUUUCUUUUCACCUCCCACCACUAGUUCUAUGAACUACGAAGCUCUGAAUUCCUUAUUGCACUAUAAGGAUACGUAGGGGUGAGGGCCAUAAUCCUCUCUGAGCACUUUAUCUAUUUCUUUUUCUUUUCCCUCAUUCUUUUGCGAGUAAACCUUAGAUAUAACACCCCUUCGAGCAAGAACAAUCAAAAUGGUUUCCGUUGAGUACAAUAGAUGUGAGGGGUGUUAAUACCUUCCCCUUGCAUAACCGACUUCCUUACCUAGUUUCUCUUUCCCAAAUUUUUAUGAUGUUUUCCCUUUCCUUCGGGAAUAAAUAAAGUUUGAUGGCGACUCUAUUGUAUGUUCGAGCGUGCGAUGCGUUCAGGUAUAUUUCCGCUAAGAAGCAUUCUAGGGCAUCCAAUGAUUAAAUACAUGGUACAACUGAAAGGGAGGAAUUCCAACACUGUCCACUUGUUGAAUGGCACAGGCUUUUCCAAAUAGCUUUUACUUUUUUGUGGGGCUUUGUCGAAUUGUCUCGAUCUCUUUUAGUUUCAUCCAAAGCAACAAGCCUGUCAUUAUUUUUCUUACAUCGUCGUUUAGAUGGAGGAUGAGUAACUCCCGAGGACACCAGGGUUCUCAUAUCAACUAGGGAAGUUCCACACUCGUUCAUGACCAUGGUAGGUCUCUCAAUCGAAGUAGGGUCGACCGAAAGCAAAGUACCUUCUUCUCCCUCUCUCUUGAUCUCAUAUGAAAGGAAACAAGAAGAUCAAGGGGAUAAGUUUAAUGCAAUUUAACAUCAAUCAAAUAAAAUAUAAUCAUAUCAAGUACCAAAAAAUGUUUUCCUCUACUCAAUAGAUUUAGCGCCCGCGGAAUCUCAAUAAUUUAUCCCGCUGUCAGAAAAUGAAAGAAAGGUCACCUUCAUAGCUUUCUCGUCAUUGAUAAGGGAGUUAUACAAAAUAGACUAAAAACUGGCUUUCUCAUCAAAGUGGUUCGGGGUCCAGAACCUCCGGGCUCUUUCAAUACAAUUAGCCGACCCCAAAGCAGAUGUCGAGAAAUUACAAAUUUUCAAAUGAGCUAUGGGGGAAAUAGGAGUUGACAGGAAAUAAUGAGGCUUGAACUUCUUCAAACUCUCAUUGUAAACCUGGAAUAUAUUUUUGUCAUUCUAACGAAGGGGGACUAACCCAUGGCCAGACCCUUCCCUUGAAGGAGGGUUCACGGAAAAAAAGGUGAGAGAAGAGAUAUUUAGAGGCAUAACCCAUUUUCCCCUUGUAUUCGUACCAAUAUUGGAACACCCUUACAGAAGCCCAUGAAUUAUGGUAGAGUUGUGAGGAAGUAAUUUGAAGGUGACGCAACACCUCAUUUUCAAAAGCAGCCAGGGGGAAGCUGAACACCCAACUUCUGGAAGAUGCAAUCAUAGAAGGGAAUAAAGCAUCCAUCAGACUUGCUACAUAUCCUCGUAUCCUUAGGAAUGAAUGAGGUAGUCAAUUCAGAGGAUGAUCCCAUCUCGAAGGUAGCCUUCUCCAUAGUAGUCUUAUGGAUAUAAGAAGAAACUAUCCCUAGAUAUGCAAGGUCCACUCAUGGAUAAUCACCGCAUCACUUGGCUUCAAAAACUCUUCAGGUCAAACCAUUUCCAUCUUUGCAUCAUAAAAUGAAUCAUUCUGAUCAGCGGCAAUAAAACAUCGGCAGUGAGGCUUUUCUCGAGAGACUGAAUAUAACAACCAGUCUCAUGCUCCGCCAUCUUAGAUAAUGUAAGACCCAAAUUAAAUUCGGUACGAGCAAGGGAGGCGACGCAAAUGACAACUUCCCCUAUCGACGAAUCAUCCUCAUCACCAAAAGAAUCCAACCCUGACCCAGAGUUACCAUUAUGGGCAUAUUGGACAGGAGCGGGAGAGUCCACCCCGUAGAAAAUUUCAGCGAGUUUGGGGUUCUCAACUCCAACAGAUGACGAGGACUCAUCACUAUCUAUACCAAGAGCAUUGUUUAUGGGCACACUCUCUAUGUUAACUAUAAUGACACACAUAGAAAGGAUGAUGACGUGCCUUGAAAAGAUAAGACACAAAAGGAAGAAUGACCCACAAACUAAAAAAACAACGAAAGACUGAAGUUACCGGUGCACUUGAACAAGAGAAUGAACUCAGAAGGGGGAGGCAAGUUCCGAAUGAUAGACGAAGCAAAAGAGACGUUUGAAAGAUAGUCAACCCCCUUUUAUAAUAAGAUCAACAACAAACUAAUGAUCCAAAUAAGUAGUUAAGGGGGAUUCAAGGGUGAUGGAUUAAUUGUUCCUUGGGAAUAUAAAUGGUUCAAACGCACUCGAGCACCCUAGGUAGGGGAACCAUGCCCUAACCUGCAAACCUAAAGUGAUGCGCCUGAAAGGCAAGAUAGACGUCUCAAUGAUGGGGAAACAUUAAUGCGUUUGUCACCCAUUACUUUCAUAACUGAUCCAUAACUUUCCCGCUUCUUGCUACAGUCGGACAUCAUCACUAAGGAUCGACCACAACUUCGAAAGAUUUCUUGGCUAGUAUACAUCUGACAAGCCUUGAGGGCGACUGAUUUGGGCCUACAGAAGGCCCAAUACUAAAGUCCAAUCACGCUCAAGCCCAAUCAAGAUUUUUCAACGUAUAUAGUCAGCACACUUGAGAUUCCAAAUACACUUUUAUAAUCUCCACUUUUAAUUAUACUCAUUUUGAACACCAUAAUUGACUUAAGCAUUAAAGUGUUAACCUUGCAAGUUCACUCCGCGGUGCUGCAUCAAAAAUCAGCAUCGGUAAUUCCAGAGUCCGACGUCAUCAAUCAAUAUCAAUUCUGAUUUAAAUAUGGAACAAAAUUAAUUUGAAUUUUUUUAAUUAAGGAUAAAAAAUAUUUUUUUUAAGGGGUUUGUUCAAAAAAGAAAUAACAUAAACUUGUUAGUGUAUCUUUUUAGUUCAAGGGUAUUCAAUUGAAUCCCCUCGUAAAACCCUGCCUCAAUCCAUGUCUCUCACCUAAUGCAUCACGCUCCUAUAGAUCUCAAGUUUCAACAAUUGUGAACAUUUUAAUAUUUCACCUAAAAGCAUGAGUCAUGUAGUACCUAAAUUUUAUUCAGACAAUUAAUAAAAUUCAAAAAAUGUGAGAACAUCGUGUUUUAUUCUCUCGCAUUUUUCAUCAUUAUUAUUUUCUUUUAAAAAUUAUAAAAAUGUGACAACACACAAAAUAUCUUGUGCAGAUUGACAAUGUGGCAAGUAACAAAAUAUCUUGUGCAGAAGGUCAUGUCAAAGUUUGCUUGAAAAUUUUCAAACUACAAAUGAUUUUCAUGUUGGAACAUACGAAGACUUGGUAAUCGGAUUCAUAUUAAUAUUGUUUAGAAAAGCAAAUCAUUUAACACAAAUCAAAUUAAAAUUGAUUAUAAAUCCCUUCUUUAAACAUUUCUUCUUCAUAGCUCAAAAUAACUAAUAAAGUUAAAUUGUUGCAAAAUAAUGGAUAUGUUUUUUUUAUAUAUAUAUUAUUAGUUACAUUUUUUAAUUAUAUAUUUUAACUAAUACUAUAUGUAUCGUUUUCAAUUCAAUAUCUUUUUAUUUUACAUUUAUGAUAAAAAUAGAUUUACUAAUACAUGAUAAAAAAAAUUAGAAAAAAUAUUCAUUUAUAUACUUUUUUAAUUUAAUUUUUUAGAAUUAUUUUUUUAAUGUAUUUGAAUUAGUCAAUUAGUUAUUUUGGAAUGAAAAAAGCGUUAUUCUAUUCAUAAUAAUUGACUUUAAGAUUUUUUUUUAAAAUAUAAAAAUCUUUGUUAUAAGAAAAAAAGAAAAAGAUACAAAUGAGGAGUUAGAGUUAGAUAACUUGCAAUUCAUUGUACUACCUUGUUAUUCCUAAGGUAUUCCUAGGUUUGUUUCAUUUUUAGAUUUUGAUCGCUUAUGAAUCUCACUUUGUUAAGAUAUUUUAGAUACUUUUUCUUAUUUUUUCUAACUUAUGAUAUGAAUCUCACUUUCCCAUAUUCAAUAUAAAGAUCAUAUAUUUUAAUCCAAGGCUGUACAUUAGUAUUUUUCAUCAAGUUCGGAUUGAAGUCUAGUGUCCACGUGAAUACUUAAAGAAUACCAUGAGAUAGAGUCCACAACCCUACUCUCAAAAUCCUCAUGAGAUCCUCAAUAGAUAAAAAUGAAGAAAAAAAACAAAAACAAAAAACUCUUACCGAUAAGUUUAAUGAACCAUUUUCCAAGAACAUUCCAAACAAUAUUUCAUUUUUCAUGUCAUGCAUCAAUUAUUAAAAAAUAUUCUUCUCUCUUUAAUAUUGUCCUUCCCAUCAAAUAAAUUUUUGUAGGUCACAAAAUCAUGACAUAAUCCUUUUAUGAAAUUUUUAUGAUUAUUACAUCCUCGUGUGGGUAGUUGGUUUAGAGAUAUAUCUUAAAUGUUUUUUAAAAUAUAAUUGAAUGUCUUCAAAAUCAAAUCAUAAAUCUGAACUAAAUUUGAACCAAAAAAGAUUUUAAUGACUUUAUAAACAAUAUUACGAAAGAUUGCGACUUAUAUCUCUCAUUAACAGUAUUCCUUAUUCUGCGAGAUUCUUCUGUAAGAUUCAAUUGGCUUUAAUUGUAACCAAUUAAAUUAAAUAAGAAUCCAAGACAUAAUAAAUUAUUUUAUAAACUAAGCAUCCUCUACGUAUAACUGCAAAGACUAAUCCCUCAAGUGUUGUAUGACUAUAAUAGAUUGCAAACUUGUUGAAGGAUAAUUCAUUAUUUUAGUAUUUCGUCUAUGUAACAUUAUUGUUUGUGUAUAUAAGUAGAUGUGUGCUUAACCAUUAAGAAUGCAAUAGUUGUAAGAGCAUUCUGUGUAGCAGUGUGUGCGCGCAACAAUUUAUUGUAAUUGUUUUAGCAGAGUAGUGGAAGUUUGUUAUUCUCUCUUCUCUCUCUUCUUUCAUCUUCAUUCAUUUCACCUUAUGCACCAACAAUUGGUAUCUAGAGCUCCGGUUCAGAUCCACAUGGAAACACAGGGAACCACGAGUGAACGGUGAGGCAUUGUGUGAUUGAUUUUGUUUCUUGAGUUCAUGUUGAACUUUUGAUUGGAAUCGUAACAGAAUCACAUUUCUUGAUUCUUCGGGAUUGGGAAACACUAGUGUUUAGUGAGAUCUAAUUUUUGCACAAGGUUGAAGAUGAACGGAAACGGUAAUCUGAAUACCAAGCUUCCAGUGUUCGGUGGCAAGAAAUGAAAUCGUUGGAUGAUUCAGAUGUGUGUGUUGUUUAAUGCUCAAGAUGUUCUUGAUUUCGUCAAUGACGAUUACGUUCCAGUUGCACUUCCGGCAAAUGCAACGGAUGCACAGAGAAAUGCUUAGCGUGAUCCGAGGAAGAAGGAUCAUAAGAUGUUGUUCUACAUCCAUUAGUGUAUGGAAAAGAACGUGUUUGAGAAAAUAGAGGAUUCAAUGACGGCAAAGGCUACGUGGGACACACUGGUAUGGUACUACGACGGUGAUGCAUUAGUGAAGAAGGUAAAACUUCAGUCUUUACGUAAGCAGUAUCAGAAUCUCAACAUGAAGAACAAUAAGAAGGUACUUGACUACAUCUCCAUAGUAAUUUUAAUCACAAAUGAGAUGCUCGUGUGGAGAAACUCUCUCUGAAGAAAGUAUCACUGAGAAGGCACUUAGAUCUCUUACUCCUCAGUUUGAUUACAUCUUUGUAGCAAUUGAACGUUCUAAGGAUCCGAGACCAUGAGAAUAGAAAAGCUGCAAAGCAGUCUAGAGGUGCAAGAGUUGCGUCUGACUGAAAGAACCUCUGAUCCUUAGGUAAAGCAGGCUUUGGAAACUUCUUUUGUCAAGAAGGACCAGAAGCAGUCUUGGUCAGAGGCUAAGAAAAGACAUGGUAGGUCUCAGAAGCCUCCCAUUUUGAUGAGAAGAAAUAUCAGAAGGAAAGGGAGAAGCUUGACAAGAGAAUGGUUCAAUGUUACUGUUGUAAUAGGUUUGACCACUUUGCUAAGGAAUGUUAGUCAAACAAGGAAAGGAAGUCAGAAGAAGCAAACAUAGCCAGAGGAGAUUAUGAUGAUGAACAUGUGCUAUUGAUGGCUUACAAAUCUGAUGAUGAUGAAUUGUGUGAUUUCUGAUUUCUAUUUCUGAAGGAGACUCUGAAUAUGAAUCAGAGUCAGAAGAUGACUCUGAAUCUAAAGUCGAGUCUGAUUUUGAAUAUGAGUCAGAAUCAGAAGAUGAGCCAGAGUCUGAAGGUUAUAAAGAAGAGUCGAAAUCUGAGGGUUCUGAAGAUGAGUCAUAGUCAGAAGAUGACUAUGAAGCUAAAGAUGAGUCAGAAUCAUAAAAUGAUUCUGAAGGUGACUCUAAAGGUGAGUCUGACUAUGAAGGAGAGUCUGACUCUGAAGGUGAAUCUGAUUCUGAUUCAUAUUCUACUGUUGAUUCAGACUCUGGUGGAGAUCCAGACUCUGAAAGUGGUACUUAUGGAGUUCCAUCAUUGAUAUUAUUUCAGCGUACGAAGGAGAUUCUGAACAAGUUCAUAGGCCACAAAGAAUCAGAAAGAUUCCAAUAAGGUUUGUAGAGUUUAACAUACUGCAAGAUACUGAAGUAGACUCUAAAGGAGAAGCCAUUUAGUGUGCCAUGUUAGUAGACUCUGAACCAAUGAGUAUCGAAGAAACUCUCAAGAAGAAAGUGUGGAUGAAGGUCGUGAAAGAAGAACUUGAGCUUCUAAAGAGAUUUGAGUUACUGAAUUGUAAGGUUGUUGUCACACCGUCAGAAAUAAAUCACAAAUUGGAUUCCGAUUCUAAAGGUGAUGAUGUAGAUACCACAACUUUCAAGCAAUUGGUUGACUCUCUGAGGUAUUUGUGUAAUACCAGACCUGACAUUUGCUAUACAGUUGGAAUGGUUAGUAAGUUCAUGAGUAAGCUGAAGUGGUCCAAUUACCAAGCUAAUGUCAGGAUCCUGAGCUAUAUAAAGGGAACUUUCAAGUAUGGAGUUUUGUUCCCUUCUGGAGGAAAGGCUAAUUCAGAGCUGAUGGGUUACUCAGACUCUAAUUGAUGUAGAGACAGAUUUGAUAGGAGAAGUGUUGGUGUAAGCCCUAGAGGCCAAUACUUUUGGUACUUGUAUCGAAUUAUUUAUUAAUAAUAAAAGGCUUUUUCUUUAUUAUGUGUGUUUAAUAAAGUCCAUAGAAUAGCUAGUCCGUUUAAUGUAUCAAGUAUGACUUAAUCAUGAGAUCAUAUUAAACAUAAGGACACUAUUCUUAAAGUAUCCGUAGUCGAGCUAAUAACACUUCACCCUAUUGUAAUUUCGUAAAAGACUAUUAUGUAUAUAGAUUGAUGAUCACAUCUCAUGGAUCAUGGAUAAGGAGUUAUCAAGUCUUAAACAUAGGUAUGAAUAUUAAGAGUAAUAAUUAUACUGAAUUGACCCGCUAUGAGAAUACUAUAUAGAAUGUUAUGCAAAGUGUCAUAAGUUAUUCUCAUGGUGAUAAUGGUGUAUACCACCCUUCGACCUGAAACCACUAUGGAUCUUAGAUGUGGAGUUGAGUGCUUUAUUGGUGAUCAAACAUUGUCCGUAACUGGAUGACCAUAAAGACAGUUGAUGGGUACUCCACGAAGCAUGCUAAGGGAAAUGAGUGACCUAGAUGGAAUUUGUCCAUCCUGCGUAACAUGAUAAAUGUCUAUGGGCCCAAUAUUGAACUGGACAAGGAUGACACGGUCUAUGCCUUAUGUUCAAUAUAGACAUAAGGACAAAAGGGUAAUUGUACACAUAAGUAUUAUCACAGAAGGAUUUGUCAGAUCACAUGACAUUUUCGUGUCUUGGGUAGCAGUGAUGUGUUGCUAGAUACCGCUCACUGUUUAUUAUGUUAAAUACGUGAUUUAAUAUAAUUGUCAAUGCCCGAAAACCUACAGGGUCACAACAAAGGACAGAUUGAUGAGAGAUAGAGUAACUAAGGAACAUCGUAAGAUACGGUGCACUUAAGUGAAUUAUAGAACAUCGUAGUACGGUGUACUUGAGUAGAAUACGAAAUUGUAAGGUACACGCGCUUAAGUAUUUUGGCAUAUAUAAAUAUGGGCCACUUACACUUAAGUGAGCUUUUUAGCUUGAAGCCCACACAAGUGGUUCUAUAAAUAGAACCCUUGUGCAGAAGCAUUAAUUGCGGUUGCAUUUUCGUUCUCUCUCUCUCUCUCUCUCUCUCUCUCUCUCUCUCUCUCUCUCUCUCACUCACUCAAAGUCUUCAUUCGUAGCAGCUAGCACUGAGAUUGAAGGAAUCUGUUCGUGUGGACUGAGUAGAGGCGUUGUCAUCGUUCAACGUUCGUGAUCGCUCUGUAGAUCUGCAUCAAAGGUUUCAAUUGUCACAAGAGGUAACUAUUUUAUCACUGAUAAUGCCCAUUCGUAAGGAUCACUAAAGGAGAAAUUUUAAAUUCCACUGCAUUUUGGAUCGCCCUUCUCCUUCAAGAAGUACUUCUAGAUACUUGUUUAAGUUUCUAAGAAGUCCUAUUUCUUGGUGUUCCAAGAGGCAAUCAGUUGUUGCUUUGUCAACAUGUGAAGCAAAAUAUAUUGCAGGUGUUGUGGCUAUAUGUCAAGCUGUUUGACUUCUGAAUUUACUGUAGAAUCUGAAGAUCGUCAUAAACAAGCCUGCGAAGCUGAUGAUUGAUAACAAGUCUGCAAUCAAUCUUUUAAAGAACCUAGUGCUGCAUGGGAGAAACAUUAUAUUGAGACUAAGUAUCAUUUUCUGAGAAUUCAGGUUCAUAAUGGAGUGCUAGAAGUUAUGCACUGUAUGACUCAGAAGCAGCUGGUAGAUGUUCUGCCGAAAGCGAUCAAGACUGAUCAAUUUCUCCAUUUGAGGGAUGAAAUUGAUGUUGUUAGUUUUGAUUAGUUAAAUCCUGAAUUAAGGGAUGUUGUUGAAGGGUAAUUAAGUAUUUUAGUAUUUCGCAUAUGUGACAUUAUUGUUUGUGUAUAUAAGUAGUAGUAUGCUUAGCCAUUAAGAAUGUAAUAGUUGUAAGAGUAGUUUGUGUAGCAGUGUGUGUGUGUGCAACCAUUUACUGUAACCGUUUUAGCAGAGUAGUGAAAGUUUGUUAUUCUCUCUUCUCUCUCUUCCUUCAUCUUUAUCCAUUUCAUCUUGUGCAUCAACAAAACUAUCCCUAAGAAAUUUAACUAUGUUCAUGUCUAAGGCUAAAUUCAAACUUAUGACUACUAGUUAAGCUGAAAGAGACUUCACCAUCUCAUCUAAAUACUAUUGAAUAAGACAUAAUAAAUAAUUGAAUUUAUGACAAAAAUUAAAUAUGUUUGAUAAUCUGAAUAUUAUAGUUAUUAUAGUUAUUUGGAAGUAUAAAAUCCUUAUACAGUUUUAGUUAAUCCGACAAUUAUAGUUAUUUGACAAUUUGACCAUUAUUUAAAAGUCUCUUUAAAAAAAGUCUUUUAAUAUAUUUUUAUUUUAAAUUACUAAAUACUUUUAUUACUCUUUAUUAUUUUAAAUAUUUUUUUUAGUAAAACUAUUGAUUUGUGCUGAGACAUUAAAAAUCAUAAUUAAACACAUCUAUUCAGGAAAAUGUAUCAAUAAACAUACAAAGUACAUUGUCUACUUUAUCUAAUAUCUCUUAAAAAUGACAAAAGAGACUUUCAUUAUUACAUCAUCUAAAAACAGAGUAGAAUUGUCAAGUUUCUUAGGCAGAAGUUACAUUACAUGAAAUAUUAUACUUCUUGCCUAAUUACUUUAUCUAGUAGUAAUACUAUAAUUUACGUUAUGAAUUAAAUGACUGAAUAUACAUAAAUUCCAAAAUAAACUUGUUUUGUUGAUUAAUGCAACUAGAAAUUGAGGAUGUUGGAGUAAGCAGUCCAGUUUUGUAGCCAAGGACUGUUAAGCUGAGUCCAAAAGGUAUCUUGAGUCCAAUCCGUUACAAUAGGUAACUGUAACUCAGGAACAUUGUCCUUCCCUAAGGGCAAUUGCAACGAUGUUCCACAAGCUUUUUUGUUAUUAUGACAUGGUUUCUCAGUCAUGGUCACCUGAGAAACCAUAUCAUGAGUUUUUGUCUCUGUUUCAUGUUGGGAUUCUUCCUUAGGAAUAACUUGUUGGAACAAUAUCGGUAAUGACACGUGUUGGUCUUGUUGUGUGUAGUUAAAGGAGAUUGUGUCCGUAGAGGAAGGUGGGGAUGUAGGAGAACCCACCACCAUUUGUUUCAUCUCUUCUUCUUCAGCUGCUCUUUGUUCAAGCACUUUCAACGAAGUUGCCUUUCUGUAUAUCUUGCACAACACUAUGUCCUGUCAUAUAAAUACCAUAACAUAUUUUUAGUAUUUAUGUUUCAUUAUUUGUUGCAUGAAUGAAACAAGAGGUUCAUAUAGGGACCACACAAUAGAUGUACAAAACGAAAAGUGUCACUACCUACCUAUUUUCAUGGAAACUUCCUUUUACAUUUCAGCUAUAAGAUAUUCAUGUUAAUUAGUUAUUUACCACUAACUAAGAAAAUUAUCUCAUAUUAGUCCAAUUUAUGAUACUAAAACACUACUAUAACAUGGAAAAGUGUUAAAAAAAUUACUAACAUUCAUUAGGUUGAAAUUUCUAUGGUUAUGACUUAUGGUCAAUUAAUUAGUCAUAUGAUAGGAACCAAAAAUAUAAAACAGAAUGGGUCUAAGGUAGACUAUAUAGUUGAAAUUCAAAUGAAAAAUGAUAUGAUAUAGUACCUUAGGCAAGGGGCUAUUGUCAGGUAAACGAUACUCAUUCAUGACCCAAUCGGUCUUGCUUCCUCGUGGAGCUCUUCCUUUGUAGAAAACCAACGUCUUCCUCAACCCGAUGAUCCGCUUUGGAUCCGAUAACGUCACGAUUUUCCGGUCCGAACCGGUUGCUUUCCAGAACCCUUUUUCAGUUGUGCGGUUAGGCCUUCCUCCACUACCAUGUUUUUUGUCCCUUGGCACAAAGAAAUACCAUUCUCUUUCCCCAACCUUUGACAAACCUAUAUAUAAUUCAAAACACAUUAAAAACUUUCAAUUAUAUAAAAUAUUAUGGUCACUCUCUGACUUAAGGGAUUAGUCUCUGUAAUUACACGUACAUGACCUCUAAAAUUUCAAAAAUAUAUGUGACAAAAAAUAAUAUGAUUCUCAAUUUACCUGGCAAAUCCCAAGGAUCAUGGUGAUAGAUGUUGAGAAAACCAAUGACAUCGUAGCGAAGUUUCUUGCCGACGACCAUGUUUUUAAGGUAGAAAUCAAGGAGUUCUUCUUCUGUAGGGUGAAAUCGGAAUCCAGGAAGUGUAAUUUCUUCAUUACUCAUGUUCAUGUCUUCCAUUGAUGCCAUGUAUAUAUGCUAUGUCUCUAAUGAUUUUUGUUGUGUUUUAGAAGAGGAACACAAAAGUUAGUGUUGGUGCUAUUGCAAACACAUUUGUUGAGUGAACAUGGAAUGGAAUAUAAGAGUGUAUUUAUAAGGAAUGGUUUUUGUUUGGUGAUUCAUAGUGCUUGUGUGAAAUAAUAGGUUUUUUCAUACUUAAAUUAUUAAUUAAUAACUGAGAUUGUGCGAUGACUUGGUCAUAUAAGCUGAUUGUCUGCUGUUGGUACUACUGUAAGUCUAUAGGGGAAGUGGAAAUCCAACGGUUGAGAUUGUGUAGAGGGUGAUGGGGACCAAUAGGGGCUGAAAAGUCUUUCAAAAUUUAUAUUUGAUAUAAUUAGAAAAUGGACUAGUAAUUGAAUUUGAGGAUGUAAACAUUAUGGGAUUUGUGGAUGGGACCCACGCGUCUUGACUAGAGACUAAUUGUUGUGUGGGGUCAAUGGAUGACUCAAGUACAUGUUGAUGUUAUGCUUCCACAUAUUAUUUUUCUUCUUAUUUUGGACUUUUAUCAUGUGAUUCCUCUCAUGGAAUUUCUUGUUGAUCAACAAGUUCUAGGAGGAUUAGCAUGUUAAUUUGUAUAGUGUGAUUGUUAUGGAAAAAUAUUGUAACAAUGAGAAUAUGCAGAUAAAAUAUGUCAUAGCCACGGGACAAUUAUAACUUAAUGGAUAGAGUAGAAAUUCAGUCCUUCAAUUGUUGCUUAGUGAAUAAGAAAAAGAAGAAAAAAAAUGAUGACAUAUUUUAGAUAUAACAUGUAACUAUGAUAACAUGUAACUAUGAUAACUUAACUAACUUUCAAAUCUCAAAACUUCAAUUUGUUAUAAAUUUAAACUACCUUUGUGUUUUAUACAAUAACUAAAACUCAAAUGAACACUAAAUGAAAUUGAAAUACAAAUGUAAACUCAAAUAAAAUGCAACAACCUUGAAUUUGAAUUAUAUUACAACAUCAUCUCUUAAUUCAUAUUCAAAAUUAAAAAUCAAUAACACCAAUUUCAUCCCUCAAACUGAUGACGUGUUCAGUUUUGAUCGACUUGGUCAACACAUCUACAAGUUUCUACUGAGUACUGAAGUGAACAACCUCAAGCACACUAUUAUGAACUUGAUGGCAUAGAAAAUGAUACUUUCACUACUAUUAAUAAUCUCAUUUCACCUCAGACGUGAGGGGAAUAUAACCUCGGUUACACAUGCGAGGUAACGAAGGGUGACAUGAAAACAUGUCACUUUACCCCUCGAUUUUUUAAUAACCAAGGGAAAAAGUGACAUUGGUCAUGUGUUUGAUCCGCAGCAACUGCAUUUUUUAGAUUUUCAAAAUUGCGUUAUUUUUUACCUCAGUUUUUAACAAUAACUUAAGGGUAAAGUUCUGCUUACAAAAUUUUAUUGUAACUUUGUUUUUUUUGUUUUAAUCUGCAAAGCAUCAAAUUUGUUGACAAAUUCUAAAUCUUCUUCAUCAUCAUCAACGAUAACACCAAUAACAACAACAAAAACAAAAUCAAUGGAAUCCUUAAACAUUAAAUCUCAACAACAAAAACAACAACAAAAUCCACGGAAUCUUUAAACAUUAAAUCUCAACAACAACAACAACAACAAUAAUAAAUAAACAAAAUCAAUAGAAUCAUUAAAUACUAAAUUUCAACAACAACAACAAUAUUAAACAUUUUACUUGAUACAACUACAACAAACAUUAAUAAGUUAAUUUCAUGUUUUCCUAACUAACAUUAAACACUUUUAACAAGAAUUACUAGAGAAAAGAUUACGUUAAGAAACUAAUCAUGAAAUAUUUCUCUGCUCUUACUUUCAUUAUCAUUGUUUUCAAUAUGUUAAGUUUAAAUUUCAGCACUUUGCGUCAAAGAUGGAUAGUUGUGACAUUUACAUUUUGAUUGGCUAGUGAGAGUGUCACGUAGAUCACUAAUGUUUCAUAUGGAUUGAUGAUUUGACAAUGUUUUGACCAUUGUUACUUUAAAAAUGGAUGGCAAAGAUUCGCUACUUUACCCCUCGGUUUUCAGCAAAACCGAGAUAAUAUGUCAUAAUUUUUAUUUUAAAAAAUUAAAGGUGAUUAAAUGUAGUUGUUGGGAUUCGAAAACGUGUCCUCUAAAUACUUUGCCUCUCGGUUUUUAGCAAAACAGAGGUAAUAUGUCAUAAAAAAAUUUUAAAAAAAUUAAAAGAUGGUAAAAUAUAGUUGCUAGGAUUCGAAGACGUGUCUUCUAAAUACUUUAUCCUACAGUUUUCUAUAAAAUCGAAGUAAUAUGUCAUAAAAAAUGUGCUAAAAUGUAGUUGUUGAGAUUCGAAUGUGUGUCCUUUAAAUACUUUACCCCUCAUUUUCCAGCUAAAUCGAGGGAAUAUAUGGUAUUUUAAAAAUAUAUAAAUUAAAAUGUGACGCGUAUAUGGUUUACACCUCGGUUUUUUGUUCGGUGAGGUGAAAGUUUCAUUAUAAAAUGUAUUAUUUAUAGUAGUAUUUGUACCAAUAUGAUUACUUCUUUCAUACAACACUGGAUUCUUGGUAAAACUUAUGGCUGACUUAUUGUCUAUCAUCAACCUGGCCAGUUUUCUAUCCUUGAACUUCAGUUCCUGCAGCAAAUUCAUCAGCCAAACAGCUUGACAAGCUGAUCAAGCACAAGUUGACAGCGCAACCACUAGUUACUUCUUGGAGCACCAUGAAAUGGGAGCUCCUAGAUAUAUAUACAUGUAUCAUGUAGUGCUUCUUUUGUCCACUAUAUCCCCACACCAACCAUAGUCUUAAUAGCAUAUCAGCUCAACAUCAUUUGACACUUCAGAUGGAAACAAAAUCACAUGCCUCAUAGUCCUUUUUACAUACCUCAGAAUCCUGACUGCAACUUGGUAAUGUGACCACUUUGGUUUACUCAUAAACCUACUUACUAUUUCAAAUGCAUAACAUAUGUCAGGUCUGGUGUUACACAAGUAUCUCAUAGAGCCAACCAACUGUUUGAAGGUUGUAGCAUCUACAUCCUCACCAUCAACAUCAAAAUCCAACUUAUGAUUUGUCUCAGCAAGUGAGACUGCUUACUUACAAUUCAUCAUCUCAAAUCUCUUCAGCAGCUCAAGUUCAUACUUCAGUUGGUGCACAAUGAUUCCCCUAUCAUAGUGUAUAAUCUCCAUCCCUAGAAAAUAAGCCAUGUUUCCAAGGUCAGACAUAUCAAAUGUAUUCAUCAACACCUUUUUGAACUUGUUUAUCUCAGAAGUACAAUUCACUAUCAAAAGUAUGUCAUCCACGUAAAGACACACCAUAAUCAUAUUGCCAUUAGAAGUAUGUUGCAUACAUACACCAUAUUACAUUUCACAUUUCUUAAAUCCUAGAUUCUUGAAGAAUGAAUCAAUUUUCAUAUUCCAAGCCCUUAGAGCUUGUUUCAGCCCAUACAAGGCUUUAUGCAUCUUGUACAUUAUCCCUUGUUUAUUCUCUAUAAAAAAUCUAGGAGGUUGUAACACAUAAACUUCUUCUUGCAAUGGACCAUUCAAAAAAGCUAACUUUACAUCUAAAUGUAUCAGAGGCAAAUUCCUAUUUGCAGUUAUAACAAUAACCAAUCUUAUGGUUUCAUGUCUAAAUACAAGUGAAAACACUUCAAAGUAGUCUAAAGCAUGUUUUUUUAGGAAUCCUCUAGCUACUAACCUUGCUCUAUGCUUGUCAAUUGAACCAUUUGACUUUAGCUUUAUCUUGAAAACCCAUCUCACACUGAUGGUUUUCUUGUUCUAAAGUAGAAAUGUUAAUUCCCAUGUCUUGUUUCUUUUGAUUUCCUCAAGUUCUUCCUUCAUGGCGUUCACCAACACCUUCUUCUUGAGACCCUCAUUAACGUUGACAGGUUCAGAGUCCACCAUCAUGGCACUUUGUAUGACUUCCAGAGUCAACCUCAGUAUCAUGCAAUAACUCAAAGUUUGCAAGUGCCUUUGGCAUCUGUCUAAUUCUUUAUGGCCUUUAGAGUUGAGAAAGUUCACCUUUAGAGGCAGGACCACAUUCAUAAGCUCUACCUUAAGAAGCUCCACCUUUAGAGGAAGGAUCACCUUUAGAAGAUUAAUCACCUUUAUAGUCAGGUCCAGUGUCAGAGUUAGUCUCACCUUCAAAGCCAGACUCACCUUAAGAGUCAAAGUCAUCUUUAGAGCCAGACUCACCUUCGGAGUCAGAGUCGUCUUCAUAUCCAGACUAACCUUUGGAGUCAGAGUCAUCUUCAGAGCUAAACUCAUAUUCUGAGUCAGACUCCCUUCAGAGGUAUAAUCUUCUUCAAAGGCAGAAUCUCCUUCAAAGGAAGAAUCAGACUCUAAUGUUAACAUUGUAAUAUAGUUGGAUUUAGACUUGUUUCAAUCCCAUGUUUUUGAUUCUUUCACUAUGACAUCUCUGUUGACUUCAACUUUAAUGGUGAUUGGGCAAUAUAGCUUAUAAGCACAUGUACAGUGGUAACCUAUAAGUAACAUGACUCUGCUUUUGUCACCAAUUUUCUUAUAGUAGCAUCUGGUAUAUGUUUGUAAUAUACAAAAUCAAACACCUUGAAAUGGAUAACAUUUUUCUUUAACUUCUUUGUUGGACAUCUGUUGAGCACAUAUGCUGAUGUGGUAAUUUCUUCACCCCAUAUGUGUGAGGUAGAUUCUUCUCCUUCAGCAUGUUUCUUGUCAUGUUAAGAAGAGUUCUAUUUCUCCUUUAAUCAAGGCCAUUAUUAUGUAGAGUUUAUGGAGUAGUCGCCUUAUGCUCAAUACAAUGUUCCUUAUAGAACUUCUUGAACUCUGUUGAAUUGAAAUCACCUACACCAUAAGUUUUGAGGAUCUUCAAUCUUUGUCCACUUUGGUUUUCAGCCUUCACUUUGAACUUCUUGAACUCAGAAAACACCUCAUGUUUGAACUUUAUGAGUUCUACCCAUGUCAUUCUUGUUAACCCAUCCACAAAUGACACAAAGUACUUGUUUUCUCCAAAUGAAGGUACCUCAAAUGGAUCAUAUACAUCAAAAUAUAUCACACCCAAAGCAUAAGUGCUCUUGGAGGCAUUUAUGAUUAGAAUGGCAAUAUUGGUUGCUUGCCUCUCUUUCAUAUAUCUCAUAAUUUCUCUGAUGCCACAAUCUUUGAAAUUCAAAUGUCUCAAUCUCUUAUGCCAUAACUUACUUUCCCAUUCAACACUUCUAGCACUAAGGAAUUGAGUGUCUGAUGUUGCAACAUUCACCUUGAAUGUCAUGUUUUUUCCCAGUUUAGACAGCAUAAUCAGCUUCUGACUACAUUCAUACAACUUUAAGAGAUUGACCUUCAUGGUUAUUAAAAAAUAUUUUUCAAGCAGCUGCCUACACUCAUCAGAUUGUUAUUCAUGCCAGGAACAUACCAUACAUCCUUAAUCAGUAUAGUUUUUCCAUUAUUCAAUUUCACUCUGACAUUUCUCAUUCCUUCAGCAUUCAGAUACUCAUCAUCCGCACAUCUAAUCUUGGUCUUUCUACCAGAGUCAAAAUCAACCAGUCAUUGCUUGUUUCCAGUUAGGUUAUUUUAGUAGUCAAUGUCCAUAUACCACCAGUCUACCAUUGCUCCACCUACAUUCUCAGAUCCAUCAGUAGCACAGGUUCAUCAUCAUAAUCUCCUUUGGCUAUGUUGGAUUCUUCACCCUUGCUAACCUUGUUUGACCAACAAUCAACAACAAAAUGGCCAAACUUGUUGCAACUAUAGCACUGAACCUUUAUCUUAUCAAAUUUCUUCUUUCCCUUAUGAACAUUCUUAUGUUUCUUCUCACCUGAAUUGGAGAGUUAUGACUUCUGAGCACCACCGCCAUAACUUUUCUUGUGCAAAUCACUCAGUUCUCACCAACACUCGUGUUUCCCAAACUCUGAGAACCAAGAUUUGUGAUUCUCUUCAAUUUCGAUAUUUAGUUCUACGCGAGUUUGAGGAACAAAAUCAAUAAAACACCUCAUGUACACUUGUGUUUCCUGUGAAUCGGAAUCGGAGCUUUGGAUACCAAUUUUUGGAGUAAACACUAAACUCCUCUAACAAUUCACAAGAGGAAGAAGAUGAUGAAUAAUUGCAGAGAGAGAGAGAGAGAGAGAGAGAGAGAGAGAGAAUUGUGUAGCUAACUUUCAAAUCUCAAAUAUUCAAUAUGUUACAAAUUGUAACUAACUUUGGGUUUUAUACAAUAAUCAAACUCAAAUGCAACUGAAAUACAAAUGCAGACUCAAACGAAAUGCAACAACCUUGAAUUUGAAUUACAUUACAACACUUUUUUUCUAAUUAGCAACGGAAAAACUAUGAAAUUGAUUUCAAAAUCCGUUGUUAAUUGGAAGAAAAGUACUAACAUGAUAGGUUUUGAGGCGUUAAAGAAUCAAUAUGACCUUUUUAAGUAAAGGUAUGAAAAUGAACAUCGACGUUAACAUACGAGAUCGAAAAGGAUAUUAAACCAAAAUAAUAUCAUUGUUUUUCAAACUAUUUUGAUGUCGAGUCCCCUACAUUGUGUCUACUGAUUUGUAAUAGAUUGGAAUUUUUCAAAUUGUGUCUUUCAGAGGAAGAUUAAUCCUUAGUGAAAUAAACUAUAUUUGAUUUCAAAAAAAGUGACAGUUAUUGCGUUGUGAGUGAUAAGUUGCAUUUUUAUCGUUUUAAAGGGUUUAAUUUUAUAGUUUUAUCUAAUUUUUUUCUUUAUUCUAUUUUACUUUUGUUUUCUUGUUUUCUUUGUGUUUCAGGAGUUUUAAAGUUGACAAGUCAUGAUAAAAUGGAUAGAAUAUGAACAUGAAAAGAUACAAGAAGAUGCCUAAAGAUUGGACAAUUACGAAAAUAAAUCUGCAAAAAAAUGGCAUUACGGCAUGAUCAUAAUUUCCAUUACGACCAUAAUGGCCUUAUAAGAAACUUCCCAUUUUUGAAAUUUUAGCAUCAAGAAGUCGAGGGGAUUAUGGUCUUGCUGUAAUGGCGAUUACGAGGAUAAUGACCUCAAGGACCUUUGGAUUUUCUGCAAUUUUCUAUUUUGUUUGUGGUCCUUCCACUUCCUGGACUCUUACACUCUAAUUUUAAGCCUCUCUAAUUGGGAAUAUGACUAUUUUAAUAGAUUUAGGGCUAUAAAAACACCUUGUAACCUCAAAUUACAUCCUCUCUCAAUUCUAAUUAUCUUCAAACUUUAAUCUACUUCACUUUUAUAGUUUCCUGCAUUUUUAUGUUCUUGCAAGAGUCUCCAUUGGAUCAAGUACUCAGUUGUAUUCCAAUUUAUAAUUCAUGUUUUAUUUUCCUUAUUUUUUUGUAUUAUUCAUCUGUUGUUACUUUAUAUUAUGAUUAUGUUUAUGUUUAAGGUUACAUUCGUGUUUAUCUUUAAUAUGUGUGAGUAACCCGUUUUAGAUUUAGGACCAUGAGGAUUGUCUAAAUGGAACACCUCGUGAAGGCUCUCAAUUCAAUAUCUUUUGAUCAUAAAGUGUGUGCUUUCUCUGUUAUUUAGGAAUUAUGGUAUGUAUCUCAACAAAAGUGGAUAUAAUCUUAGACAUCUCGUAGCUUAAGCUAUGAUCCGCAUAGUGAGAAGGUAUCAAAUUAUAGUUUAUUCUGAAAAUAAGCAAUAGAAAUAAAUUAACUUAAAAAACAUAUUAAAAUCAAUGAAAAUAACCUGAGAAGUUAUAGAAUUAUAUUUCACAAAGUAAAAUAUGGUGUAUUAAAAUACACUGAUCAAAUUUCACCACACUUGAGCUUUUGUACUUUGAGCAAAACUCUAACUUCAAAAUUCAAAAUAGAUAAAAAUGGGAAAUAGAACAAAAAUAGAACAUGCAAUUUCAAAGACUUUCAAGAUCACAUAAGGGUAAACAAAAUUCUCAUUCUAAGUUUCAAUCAAUAUGGCAUUAGUGAGUAACUUCUUGGGACAACCAAUGCAAAUAAGAGGACAAUUUAUCAAAGAAUACAUCAUAAGUGCUAGGAUCCUCACAGGAUAUAAAUAUUCUCUCACUCUCUAGGGUUUAGGUUAUUUGGUUACACUCAAAUUACAUCAUAAAAGUUACCACUACCAUAAGACUAAAAUGACUCUAACAUCGACAUUUAAAGUACAUGCACACAAAGAUCAAAAGAACUUUAUUCGAGUUGUAAUGUGGCCAAGGUAAGGGUGAGAUAAAUCCUAAAGAGGUACUAGGCUAAAAUUUAAAGGGACAUAAGAGAAUUGAAAAGAACUAUGGAAGUUGAACUAAUUAUCAUUUUAUUCACUUUCAAACAAUUUCUUUGCAAUCAUUUUCUCUUCUCUCUUUUUUUGCCAACUUUUAAAAUAUCACAAAUAUACUAAUUCAACCCCACACAACUCCAAAAAAGACUUUUUCUUCCCCUUAAAUAGGGUCAUAACAUUGUUUUUUAUUUUUAGGUUUGUAAUGAGUUAUAAAGAAAAAAUGGGAUAAAUAGGCUCAAAGAGGCUUCAAACAAGGGAUGAUAAUUUCAGGUUCAUUUUUUUUGGCUAAGUGACUAAAAAUAAAAGAAAAACGAAAUGUCUUUAUCAUAUCAGUGUGCACAAGUAAACAAAAAGUUUUAACAAGAUUCAAGUCAAGUUCUAGAGUAACUAACAAACAUAAGUGAAAUCACACAAUAAAGAAAAAGAAAUGGAAUUUGGUAUGUCAUCCAUUAUAAGACUCAAAUUCUCGCCAAGGGUAAUGAUCUACCACAAAUGAUGCAUAAUUUAGAAUUUAAUGUAUUUUAUCAUACUUAGAUUGCAAAGAAAUUCACUCAUAUCACACCACAGAUCUUUAGUCAAAAGAAUGGAGAAAUUAGUUACAUAACACAAUCCCAAAAAGCAACAAAAAAGCAUGCAUUUUUUAUUUAUUAUUAUUUUAAAUUUUUUAUUUUAAAACGAGAAAACAAAAUAACAAAAAUAAAUGACAUCCCUCCCCCACACUUAAACACACAUUGUCCUCAAUGAAAAAGAAUAAGCAUAAAAUAAGAGAGAGGAGAGAGAGAGAGAGAGAGAGGAAUAACACACCCGAAUAAUCAAGGCGGAUACAUAAUUGCAUAAGUAGAAUUUUUUAAUGAGAGCUCUUAUAUAGUUUCCUCUUCCAAUAUGGGGCUCUCAUGGAAUAGCUUAAAGACGUGUCUAUUGACUUUGAAAAUUUUAUCAGUACCUUCACUUUUUAUUCCUAGAUCAAAGAAUAUUCUUCUAUAGGUAAAUGUGUUGAAUGAACGAGUGAAAAUGGUAUUCUCUUUGUCUUCUGGUGCAAUAUAUAUCUUAUUUUUCCCAACAUCCAAAAUCAAGGGGUUAAGCCGUCUUUGGGGUUGCCUCACUACUUUUUCUCUAUCUUCAAGUAAGAUUCUAUGCAUACUCAUGGACGAGCUAAUACAAGAAAUGUCAGCCAAUGUUCAUCCAAUUACAUUCUUAUAUUUCUUUAAUACCUGUAACAACCUUUGUUCAUGUUCAAAUUCAAAUUUAGAUGAAAUUAUUACAAUAAACUUUUCUUCCAUUCUUAAAAUGAAUAUUUUAUAUUUCUAGGGAGUGACUUAAACUCUAAAGCAUAUGGUUGCUCAAUGAAUGGUAAAAUCUUGGCAGCAGGAACUACAUUUAUAUCUGCAACAUCAACUUUGUCAGUAGAAAUCUCAUAAGAAAUAUCAAUCUGUAAAUCAACUUCAAUUUCAUCAUAAACUAAACAUAUAUAAGUAUCAGUACAAAUAUCACAAGUAUAAGUGUCAUCAAAAUUAGACAAAGAAGGAAAAUUAGCAAAAAGUGAAUAAGAUGCAACGAGUUCUCUUAAGGUUCUAUUUUGAUCAACCAUUAUAUGAUUAUCAAAUUCAAAAUCAGAAUCAAAUAAAUACAUAAUCAAAUAAAAUCACUAUCAAAUAUGACUACUAAAACCACUACUAAAAUCAAAAUCAAAUCAACACAAAGUCAAAUAAAAUCAUUAUCAAUGAAUAAUAAAAUCUAAUGAAAAUAUUAUUAAAAUAAAAUCUUAAAUAUAUGAAAAUAUGACUAAAAAUAAAAUCAAAUAAAAAAUGAAUCUGUAAAAAAAGUUUGGAUUUUUAAAAAAAUAUGAAAAUAGAAAAAAAUUCAAAUAAAAUAGAAAAAUGAGGAAUUUGCGAAUUUUAGGGUAAAAAUCCCUUAGAAGUCUCUUCAAAGUGAGUAAUGUUUGUUAAUAUUUUUCUUCUGAUUUUUUUUUUUUUUGGGGGGGGGGGGGGGGGGGGGGGGGGGGCGGGGGGGGGGGGGGGGGGGGGGGGGGGGGGGGGGGGGGGGGGGGGGGGGGGGGAAUCGGAGUAAUUUGAAACAACAACUUAUAGAUUCACCUAAUAGGCUGAGAUACAUACAACUAACUGCAACCCUAAAAAUCAACACAAAAAAAAAUUGCUAACAAUACUAUAAACUAUGAUUCUAAAAUUGGCUAAAAUCAACAGAGAAUCCCCGACAACAACACCAAUUUGAUUUGUUGUCUCACUUACAGGUAAAAAAAUGAGUAAAUGAAUUGUAGUAUAAGAAAGCGACACUCGAUUCGUAUCGUAAAGACUCUAAGUUAAUUUAAACAAAGGAAAGAAACGAAAGAGGGGUUUUAGGUUUUCGGGCAAUUGAAAAUGAAGAAAACGAUUACAAUUUUGAUCAAUAGAUUAAUCUACUGGUUCGGUAAUUUCAGACUUAUCAUUGAUUAUUUUACCACCAAUUCCCUAAGUGGAUUUAAUUCCUAUUUGAUUAUAGUAUUGAUUAACAAGCGUGCUCAACACUAUGUGAGUUAUAUUCCUAUUUGCCACAUUAAGCAUGACUGUUGAAGAUCAUGUGAAGUUAAUGAAUAAACUAAGUUAACACGUGAAGUUAAGGAACAUGCAUCGAUCAAAUUUAAUCAACAUUAUUAUAUGCAACUCAAAUUAAGCAAACAAGAAUACACAAAACAGAAUUGAAAGAAACUAAAUAAAAAUUGAUAAUAUAAUAACCUCAAAGUCUUGAUGAAAUUCCAAAAUAGUAGAUUAACCUUGGAGCUUAGUCGUCCAUGUAAUCCUAGUGCUCUUCUUUAUUUCCUAAGAAUUGUAGAACUUCCCAUAAUGAUGAGUUUAUCUUAAAUAAUAAAGAAAAAUGGGUUGACCCGUCCUUUUUGGUUACUCUCAUUCAUCCCCUGGCUGAUGAGACCAUUUGUGGGGCCAAGUCGUGAGUGGAAGGUAAGUGAAAACCUAUGUUUCCUCAUUGUUGGUCGGAGAAUAAUUUUCUCUAGGAGAAGGACACCUAUGUUUAUGGAGAAGGAUAUUUUUCUGAUAACAUUUCUUUUGAAAAGAAGAAAUUGUUGGACUUUGUUAACCGCUAUGGUUAUCUCGAAGGUGUAGUUCCCUCGGCUGAAGUCGAUAAAAUAUGUUUGAAGCAUAUGAUAGAUGUCUCCUUGUUGAUAGGGGCUUUCUGCCGUAAGGAUCAUCGAGUUUCCUUUGGUAAGUUUGAAAUUUCCUUUAUCCCUCUGUUGUUAGUUUACCCUUCUUUGGGUGCGUAUGGAUAACAAUCGUGUUUCUGUGCAUAUGUAAUUGAGGAUAAGGUGAGGGUUUGUGUCCUGAAGCCGAGAAUACAUCCACCUGAUGUGGUGGUUGUCUCUUUUCUCUCUUCAUACCCACCUCAUAGUGUUGCUCUUUUGCAUGCCCGUCCUAAUUCGUAAAUGGAUCCGUGAAUUCACAUUGGUCUUUCUCUUCAUCGUAAGUAUUAGGUCUUUGAUGAUGAUUGGCCAUUUUUUUCCAAUAUAUCUAGAAAGGCUCUAAGGGAAGAGUUGAACAGUUUGGCUUGGUCUACUAAGUGGGAUUUUAUUACUCUCACUCUUGGUGGAUCCGAGAGCUAGGAAUCCCUUUGGGCGAACCAGGCAUGUGAUAAAAAGUUCAGGUUGGAAAGGAGCGUUAACAACUUGUCUUUCCAACAAGACAUGUAUUUAAGAGAGCUUUAGAAAGUUUUUGCUUCCUUGCAAAAGGUAAACAAAGUUCUGGCUCCAUUCAAUCUCCCUAGUAUUUCGGGUAGUAGGGUGAUGCACCUGGAGAGAGUGAUGUAGAGGAAUAUCGAGGAUCUUGAUUCUUCCUAGAGGGAGUUGGAUUUCCUACGCAGUCAUAAUGUUUUUCUAACCCGAAAACUGAAAGAAUAUGCUUAUGCGAGCCUUGGGCGGCUACAAAGUCUUUCGAUAAUGCGAUGGACAGGUGGAGCAUUUUCACCACCCAUUCGUUAUCUCAAGGGAGAAGAUUUGACUGAGUCAGAUACUUCAAGAUGAGAGGGUCAUCUCUAUUAUUGAGUAGCCUCCUGACUUUUUUUAGCCCUUUUUCCUAGUUAUGGGCAUCGACUUGUAAACAAUGUUCAAUUAUAUUAUCACCAUUCGCAUGUUUAUGCUUUUGAUUUUGUCUCAUGCUCUUUUUAGUUGUAGUCUUCAACCGACUGAGAAUCAAGGAUCGUUAGGGUUCAAUUUUAAACCCUGUAGUUUAUAGAGUUUGUUUUCUACAAAAAUUGGUAAAUAAUAUCUGCAAGGCCAUGUUUGGUCGAUUUAUUCAUGAGCAUGUUGCGCCAUGAUGUAACUGGUUGGAUGUGGCCAUAGUUAGAACAUUGGCCUAGAUCAAUGUGAUCGAUUUUUAAAAUGUGUUUACAUUAUGGGACGACCAAUAGAGUUAGACACGACUGUUCUUUGGAUCCGUACUCGUGUCGCACGACCUUGGUUGAGUGUGUUUAUUCUUUGAAUCACACUUGUAAUAAUUUUGCAUCGAUCCAGCUAGACGCGACUAUGAUUUGAAUCAUAUUCAUAAGAAUAAGGCAUGAUUGUGGUUAAGAUUUGAAUCAUACUUACACGUGAGGGACAUGAAGCCGGCUAGAUGCGACCAUGCUUCUGAACUCCGCUCUAUGUCGUGGAGGAUCAUUCUCUGGCCGAGUGUAGAGGAUCCUCGUCCCUCUUUCAGAGGUAAAAGCUCAAAUUGACAUGGACGUCACCAGGCUCCACCACUCAUGUCCCUUGGAUUGGAUAGAUCCAAAGGAGGGUGUGAUAGCUACACAUAAAUGUCUGUAAUUCUUGCGUCGGCGGCCAAGGUUGGGUUGUUCAAGUGAGUAUUCAUAUUUUCUUCCAAUGUCAUGUAUGGUUGGGCUAGGUUUAACAUCUCCUGAGUUUCUUUUACCUUAUUCUUUCCCAACUUGGUAAGGAAAGUAUGGUUGCAUAAGAGGCCAUCCUCGAAGAUCCAGCAUUUGAGGGCUUCUUAGGCCCCUUUUACCUUUUAUGUAACCUGAGUAAAUCGAUCAAUGUAUGACCAUAUGAUCUCAUUCUCUCCUAGCAUGAUGCUACUCAAGGCUGCUACAAUAAUAAGUUGCCUCUUUCGGGCGGUGAAGUGGGUGGUGAGGCGAUCGCAAAAAUUUGCCCAUGACACGAUAAAACUGUCGAGAAUACCAUUGAACCACAAUCUAGCUAGUGCGACCAAGGUUAAUGCUAGAAGCUUUCACUUGGAAGCAUCACCAGCAAUGUAGUAAUUGAGUCGGCCAUUAAUGGGUUGGACGUGUUUGUCGAAUAUUUGGGCACAUAAGGGAUGCUUAGGAUUCACCUUGUUCAGCUAGUGUUCACCACGAUCUGGGGAUGAAGCUUGACUUCCUUGGUCUAUGCUCGGGCUAUAGGAAGGAGAACAAGGUUUUUUUUCUUUCGAAUGGUCUUUCAACUUCUGAUCUUUGCCUCUCUUUGUUGCAAACGGUUCUGGGUGAAACUAUUUCUCCUAGAUACAACCUUCUGAGUUGAGUUUUCAUGGGGUUGAGUAUGGUGAAGGCUUUCUUCCAAGUGAAAUAAUAUUUCAUUUAUCGCCUUGUAGUUUUGCUAUUGAACAAUGUUGUAGAUACCUUUGAGAAAAUCGUUCACGCCUUGAGUUUCUAGGUUCUCUUUGAGGAUGCCAAAACCAUGUGGUAGCUCCGGUCGUUCAAUAGGAAGAGAAGUUGGAACUCUAAAUGGGGGAGCUUGGCAUUCCCCGUUCUUAGAGGAAGAAGGAUUAGAUUUGGCUGUGUAGGAACGUCGAUAUCGAAGUUCACUUUUCCAGGAAGAGGAGUGUUGUUUGGCCUAUUGACCGUCGUCGAUGCUACAACAGAAUCAACCAUAACAAAUUUGCGUACGGUGGAAGAACAAGUAGCUCUAGAUCCAACCAUUUCCACAACUCAAAGAAGUCAGAGAUAUGGAGGAUUGAAGAUCCAGAAAAUUGAUAAACUACAAUAGGUGUAGACACUAAUACAAAAAGUAUAGACAAAAACGCCCACGUUCCCAUGGUCCUUUAAAGGACGUGGUGAUAUCUCUAAAUUCAUGCACCAUUAUUUUUUUUUAUAUUUUUUAAUUAAAAGUUGUUAACAUACUGCCAUAGCUGAUUAGAUUAAUCGUGGUGAUAUAUUUAACCUUUCAUGGGUUCGCAUCUCAGCGCCAUCAAAUUCGUGAUAUAUUUAGUAUCUUAGUUGCAUCUUUCAUUUUUAUUUAUUUUAAAAUAAAAAAUAAAAGUGAUAUCACUACGGUUGUUUAAUCAAACUGUUGUGAUAUAUUUUAAAUUUUUUAAAAAUGUUUAAAUGCUUAAAACCUAACACUUUUUUUUUUAUAAAAUUUCAUUAAGUAAACCAUAUAUCACCAUGGUUGGUUUAGAUGACCGUGGUGUAAUUAUUUAUUCACUUAACGAAACACAACUAGAAUGUCUCUUCAGUAGACAUUUUUUCAUUUCCAUUUGCAAAAUCAUUUUCAACCUUAACAUUCAACGUUGAGAAACCAUUUUCACUCAAAAGCAUAUCCAUCGUUCAUUAACGAAACCCAAGCCUUUUCCACCAAUUUCGUUUUCAUCUUCAUAGUUCAACCAACUGCAUUCAUCGUUCAUUAACGAAACCUAACCCUUUUCAACCAACGUCAUCUUCAUCUUCAUUGGUUUAGAUGACCGUGGUGUAAUUAUUUAUUCACUUAAACGAAACACAACUAGAAUGUCUCCUCAGUAGACAUUUUUUCAUUUCCGUUUGCAAAAUCAUUUUCAACUUUAACAUUCAGCAUUGAGAAACCAUUUUCACUCAAAAGCAUAUUCAUCGUUCAUUAAUGAAACCCAAGCCUUUUCCACCAGUGUCGUUUUUGUCUUCAUAGUUCAACCAACUGCAUUCAUCGUUAAUUAACGAAACCUAACCAUUUUCAACCAACGUCAUCUUCAUCUUCAGUGUUAAACAAACUUCAUCUUCAUCAUUCUUAGCUUAUGUAGCGUCGAGGCGGAAGACGAAUACUCUGAAAAACUUUAUUUAGGUCUUUUAUUUAUUCAUCAUGUUUUCAGUAUGUACACGUUUUCCCCAUGCAUCUACAGUAAGAUUCAUUUGCCAUUGUGUUUAUGUUUAUGUUGUUGAUGUUGAAAUAGUAUACAUGCUUGUGUGUUUUACCUUAUGACAAUAUGCAUAGACUUUAUGAGUAGUAUUUCUAUAUAUGUUGUUCUAUAAUGAUAUGUAAUCGUAAAUAUAGGCACUGCUACUGGUGUUGUUGUUUAUGUAGUUCUUAGUGUUGUUGUUUAUGUUGUUUAUGCCAUUGUGGUUGGUGUUUAUGUUCUUGUCUUGAUGUUGAAUGUUUUAUGUCUUGAUAGAUGUCUCAUUCUUCAUCUAGUAGUGAAAAAAUACUUAUACAAAUGAGUCUCAAUCUAUAGACGGGAAAUAGAAAAACAAAACAAAGAGGUGUCACAAUGAUAUCUAAUUUAACAAAAGUCCACAAUUCGGUGACUAACUUUCGUUCGAGUUUAGCGUCGUAUAUACGAUACUUGAUGGUCCUUACUCUUUGGUUUUUAAUAUUUAUGUUGCGUUCCUUUUAUGUAGAAAAGUCAGUAUAUUGAUAAAUGAUCGGAAAGAUGUACCAGCAGAGGUGAAAGAGAGCAUAUCGACAGAUGUUAAGGUAUUAAUUUUAAUUUUUCAUUAUUUUAAUAUUACUUUAUAUAAUUACUAAUACAUACUUAUUGAUGUAACUGUGAAGUUAACGUUUGAGUUUUAUGAUGAUUCUAAGUUGGAAAAAAAAGUGGAUCACUUAUAGAGGUACGCGUUGGAGGGGCUUUAAUUCAUGACUCACACGUGACUACAUUAGGGAUCCUAAGCCUAAUCAUGAGCUCAUGUGGGUGAGAUAUAAUUUUCUUGACAAGAAGGUUUGGAAAAAGUUUGUGAAUUUUCGUAGUUCUUAGAAGUUCCUAGUUAGUAUUAAUUCUAUUUUCUGAUAAUUUUAUGCUUAUGCUUUAUAGAUACAACCAUGGAAGUUAUUAUUUUUCCUAUGUUUAAAACAUGUUAAAGUGAAGCAUGAAAUUUUAACAAGGCAAAAAAUAAAUACCCCAGGGUUUGUCUCGUGGGGGAUACAUGAAACUUGAGAAAACAAUGAUUGAUAAAAAAAGGAAAUAACUAGGACAUGAGGACUCCAUGUGUGUGUGUGUGUGUGUUUGUGUGUGUGUGUGUGUGUGUGUUUGUGUGUGUGUGUGUGUGUGGUGUGUGUUGUUGUUGUGUGUGUUUGUGUGUGUGUGGUGUGUUUGGUGUGUGUGUGUGUUGUGUGUGUUUGUGUGUGUGUUUGUGUGUUGUGUGUGUGUUUGUGUUGUGUUUGUGUGUGUGUGUUUGUGUGUGUGUGUGUGUGUGUGUGUGUGUGUGUGUGUUGUUUUGUGUUUGUGUGUGUUUUGUGUGUGUGUGUUUGCUGUGUUGUGUGUAUGUGUGUGUUUGUGUGUUAUGUUAUGUGUGUGUGUGUGUGUGUGUGUGUUGUGGUGUGUGUGUGUGUGUGUGGAGUGUGUGUGUUGUGUGUGUGUUUGUGUGUGUGUUUGUGUGUGUGUGUGUGUUUGUGUGUUUGUAUGUGUGUUUGUUUGUGUGUUUGUGUGGUGUGUGUGUGUGUGUGUUGUGUGUGUGUGUGUGUGUGAGGAGAGAGAGAGAGAGAGAGAGACAGAGAAAAAGUGAGGAAAAGAGAAGAAGAGAGAGAGAGAGAGAGAGAGAGACGAGAGAUUAUGUAUUCAUGAAUGUUUAAAAUUUGUAGACGAGAAGACAACAGAGGGAUACGAGUGUGGUGUAUAUGUAAUGAAACACAUGUUAAAUAUUGAUUCUGCUGGCAUUGUUGAUUCUCGAGAUCAGAUAUAUUUAUAUCAUUAAUAUUUAUAAUAUAUAAAUAUUAAGUUAAGUUGCUGUAUAUUUCAAAUCAUGUGAAUAGUUCAUAUUUUCUUCACUUUGUUUAUGUAGAUGUUUAACGUUGUGACAUCUUUCUCUGCCCAGUGACUUAAAGACAUCGUAGACGUUGGACAUUUAUUUUCAAUGCGCUAAUUGAAAAGGGUGCUAAUGUAUGACUUUUUCUUUGAUGUUUGUAAUAUAUGAUUUUAGCUUAAUUUGAUAUUUUAAUAAUAUGAAAUGGUGUAUACCAUAUAUAUUUAUAAAAUAAUUUUUUAACAUUGAUAUAAAAAAUAUUUAAUUAUAUAUAUAUAUAUAUAUAUAUAUAUAUAUAUAUAUAUAUAUAUAUAUACAUAUAUAUAUAUAUAUAUAUAUAUAUAUAUAUAUAUAUAUAUAUAGUAUAUAUAUAUAUAUAUAUAUAUAUAUAUAUAUAUAUAUAUUAUAUAUAUAUAUAUAUUAUAAUUUAUAGUAAUAUAUAUUAUAUAUUAUUAUAAUAUAUUAAUUAAUAUAUAUAUAUCAUAUAUUAUAUUAUAUAUUUAUAUAUAUAUAUAUAUAUAUAUAUAUUAAAAAAAAACAGGAGAUUGGACUCAUUGAAUAGCACUAUCAUCUUCCUCAUUUUAAACACUAUCAUAUUCUUCUUUUUAUAACUUUUUAAGUCCUCUCCCUUUCUUUUUGUCUCUCACAUUCUAGGUUAUGAACAUAGAUAGCUAUAACUAAAUAUAAUCUAAAAAACAUAUGAACAUAACCUAGAAUGUGAGAGAUAAAGAGAAAGAGAGAUGACUUAAAAUGUUAUGAAAAUAAGAAUAUGAUGGUGUUUCAAAUGAGAAAGAUGAUAGUGCUCCUCAAUGAGUCUAAUCUUCUCUAACAUGUGUCCUCAAUCGCUACAAUGCCUUUUAUAAGUUCAUAUUUUUGAAAUGAAGAUAUGAGGUAAGUGAAAUAUUUAGUGAAGAAAAUCAACAACAAUUUUAUAAAAAAAGUUUUUUUCUCCUGCACAUGAUAUCUUAAGAAAAUCACAUAUAAAAAUCACAAUAUUUUUUUUAUAAAAAAUGUUGUUGGAUUUCACGUGUUAUCCUAAAAAUAAUCAUGUACAAAAAAAUUAUUUUUUUUAUAAAAAAUAUUCUCGUUUUUAAAGAAAAACGUUAUUAAAAUAAUAAAAAUAAAUAAUUUAUUUUUAAAAGGAUUUAUAACGCUUUUUAUGUAAAGUGCUAUAAUUCCUAUAAAUAUUUUUAAAACUUUUUUACUAUUCAAAACCAACAACAUUUUUUUAAAAAAAUGUUAUUGAUUCCCCUUUUUUUUUUACAACAAUUUCACAUAAAAGUAUUGUUAAAGCCUAAAUUUAGAGUAGUAUUUCUUUGGUGUAAUUGUUUGAAGAAAAAUGAUAGUAACAUUUGAGAUCUAGUCAUUAGUAAAUUUUUCUGUUAACUUUCAAGUUCGAUAAAAGUAUCUAAUAAAUAUAUCUAUUAGGAAUUUAUCUAAUGUGCAUAAAUAAUAUAGUCUUACACCAUGCAUAAGUUUGCGCUUUAUACCAAUUUUUCAUUAAAUCUCAUCGUAUCUUAUUUGAACAAAUUAUAGAAAUUAACUUGUACAUAGACUUACACUAUUACCAAAAAAAGGUUUUACGAAGAUUGUCAUGGAAGGUGCACAAUUUUUCACCUCAAGCUACUAACCGAAGUAAAAAAUCUGAAAACAAUCUCUUGAAGCUUAGAAUUAUUAGGAGGCAUCACAUCACCUUGGCAAGAGGAUGUUUUGUGCUUACAUCAUCAUCAACAUCAUUGUCUUUCAACUUGUAGUAUAACUCCCCACACAUCGGAUAAUGAUUUAAUUUUUCAUACUCUUUAUUGUAUAAUAUGCAAUUAUUACAACAUGUAUGGAUUUUGAUAUAUUCCAUACUCAUCUUGGCCUUGUAAUCAUGAUUCGACAAUGCGUUAUCUUCUGGAACAUUUCUUUCAACAAUUUAAACAAUUCAGUGAAACUUUUAUUCGUCCAUCCAUUUUUAUCUUUAGAUUAAAUAUUCUUAAUACCGUUGAUAAUUGUGUAAAAUUUAUGAAUCCCAGAUAUAACGAUUCUUACUUGUCACUACAUAAAGUAACAGACACAUGAGAUCUUCUAAAAGAAUCUUCUUUAAUAUCAUAGAUAUCAUCUUUAAUCAUUCAUAUCUACAUCAACUUCCUCUUAUGUGAGACACAACUGAGAUUUUUUGUCACUUCACCAUGCAAUGUCCAUGUCGCAUAAUGUUGAUAAAUUUUAUAACAACAUAAAUGAUUCAAUAUUUUUUUCUUUCCAUAUUUUUUUGUAUUCUCACAAAAAAAAGGACAAUAAAAAAUUAUAUUAUUGUGAAGACUACUUCUUUUAACGAAUUAAAGAAAUUCAAUCACUCCAUUCUCAUACUUCGUACUCAAUCUAUUAGUUUUCAUUCAAUUAUAGUCCACACUAAUUUUCUAAAAGUAAAAUCAAAAUCUAAUAACUACUCUCUAAUUCUAAAAAAUGAGUAUAAAAAAAUAGUGGAACCUUGCAUAACAUUUUAUUGAACAAAAAGAGAUACAUGAAACGGAAAUGACAAAGCAAUUUUUUUAUUCUUCUAGAAUAAAAACAAUCACAAUUAUUCAAUGAAUAUUAGUUGCAACUAACAAAUAUUCCAUUAGAUGUGAAUAAUGUGUAUAAUAUUCAAUAACACUAUAGCAAAUUGGAACAAACCAGAAAAACAACCUUAUCAUAUGCAUAAAAAAAACAAAUUUGGAAAUUAAUAUAAAGGGAACAAACUUAUUUUUUACUUUUAGAAAACUUUGUAUAUCGAAAGUUGUUCCUUUUUAUAAUAUUUUUUAAUACACUAGUUUUUUUAUAUGUUAGGUGUGCUCUUUUCUCUCCAUCUACUCUGGAAUAUAGAUAUUAAUUUUUUUUAUAUGUUAGGUCUAUUAGCAACCAUGACCCGAUGGCAAGAUAUGACGAAAAAUAUGUACCAACAAAUUAUAACUAGUUGUGUUGGGUUUAAACUCCCUUCCCAUGUGGAAAAGGGCUCAAAUAUGAAUAGACUAUUUGUCUCAAUUAUUUAAGUGGAGAUGAUCAAUUUAGGGUUGAGAGGGACAGAGAGAAAAUAAGAAAUCAAAAGAGAGAAAAGAUGUGAGAAAUUCAUUCCUGUUUUUCGGCAACCAGUAUCACUAAAUCGACGAUCCCCGAUUUGUUAACUGUCGGAUCGAGCUCAAAUUUGGAGAGUAUGUUCAUUACACAUGUAUCUAACGUUUGAUCAUUCAUAAUUUUAAAACAACGUCUGAGGCGAGAGUUAUCUUCUUCGCAUUGAAACUGCAGAUUUGAGAAAUGUUUCAGCUUUUUUAUUUUUAUUUGUAAGCUAGUUUGUUUUAUGAUUUGUGAUUGUUAGCACUAGUUUGUGAAUAAUUUUAAGACUUUAUUGUACCCUUAAUUGAUUAUAGUGGAACUAUUUCUUUGGUGUACACGAUUCAUAGUUUUUAAUCUCAUAUUGAGGGAUUUUCCACGUUAAAAGUAUUGGUAUUCUUUUGUGCCUUUAUUUGUUCGAUUUGUCGUCUUAUAUUUGUUAUUGAUCCCCAAGAUACCUACGAGUCUGGGGAAUUUUAUAUCAGUUACAUAUUGAUCUAUUAUUGUGUCUUAAUUUCCCAUUAGACAUCAUAUAGUAUGCACGGGAAGAUGGGAAAAAUCCUUUUAUCAAUUAUUAACAAACCAUAGAUAACUUCUUUCACAAGAAUAGAAUGGGGGCAUGUGAGAGAAUAAUAAGACAAAUACAUGAAAGGUUAUACAUGAGUUUAUUAUGUCACAAAAUACACUAAUUUAAUUAGAAUCUUACACUUAAGUCAUACAUGUGUUGCUUCGUCUUUUCCUUUUUAUUUUUUAAUUUAAAAUGAAAAUAAUUGAAAUAGGUUUCCUAUUAGUUGGGAGGCACAAUCGAUAGUUAGUUUAGUUUUUAGUUAAAAAAUUAUUAAAAAAAGAAUUGCACCAUUUGAAACAGUAUUUUAUUUAAAUAAAAUUAAAAAUUAUACUCAUUGGAAUUUAAGUCGUGUCUCUGAGAAAUUUUUUCAAUAGAUUUCGAGCCUAACUCAAAGAAUAAAUAUUUUAAUUUUUAAUUAAAAAAUGAAAGGCAUCAAUUGAAAAAUAAAGUUAAAAAAUUCUUGAAUUUUUUUUCAAAAUAAUCAAUAUUUUAAAAAAAAAUAUCAAAAUAACCAAGUUCAAAAUAAUCAAUAUUUCAAAAAAAAAAAACCAAAAUAACCAAGUUUGAUAGAGAUGCAAGGUAGAUUAAUAAGUUAAUAAAACUUAUCACCGGGAUAUUUCUGCAAAGUUAAAUAAAAUAAUACUAAGAAAUUAAAUAAUAGUUACGCAUUGCACCAUGAAAAAAUAUUAUAUUUGGUAUACUUAAAGAACUUGAUGUUUUUAUAAUAAAAUAAAUUUUGGUUAAAAGUUAUUCAAAUAGUUUAUUGAUAUUUUUAUAAUAAAAUAAAUAUAUUUGGUAUACUUAAAUUUUCUAAUAUUAUUAAUGUACUCCUAAAUUAAAUAUGAACUAGUAUGCUACAAUUUUAAUUCCCUUUUAAUGUACUCUCAAAUAUGUAGUCAGGUUGAAUAUGAAUAUUUUAUAUUGAUAAGAUUUUAGUUUGACUUUUUAUUUGAGAAAGUUGAAUGGAAUUGAAACUCAAAUUAAACUUUUUAAUAAAAAAAUUAUAAUUUACCUUAAUAGUAUUUAUUUAAUUGACCAAAAUUUCAUUUGUCUCCCUAUUAUUUUAAAUAAAAUAAUGAUGAUUUUUUUUAUUUCAAAUUUAAGGAUAUACUAAGAAUAAUUUGGUAGAUGAGAAGGGGGAGAUAAUGACAGGUUAAAAGUCUUAUUAAAAAAAAAGUUCCUAACAUAAAUCAAAAUGAAGUUUUCAAUUUAUUAAAAAUAGAAUAAACAAAAAAAUUUCAACUAAGAAUAUUUUAUUCGACAUUAAUUUUUAUAUAAACUAAAAAUAUUUAUCUUUUAACAAAUAGAAUAAGCAAAUAUAUUUAUUUUAUUAUAAAAACAUCAAUAAACUAUUUGAAUAAACUAUUUGAAUAAUUUUUAACCAAAAUUUACUUUAUUAUAAAAAUAUUAGAUUCUUUAAGUAUACCAAAUAUAAUAUUUUUUCAUGGUGCAAUGCGUAACUAUUAUUUAAUUACUUAAUAUUAUUUUAUUUAAUUUUGUAGAAAUAUCCUGGUGAUAAGUUUUACUAACUUAUUAAUCUACUGUAAUUAUAUAUGGUAUAUUAAAUAUAUGAUGAAACAAAUUAACAUGAAGGAUUUGUGGCUCAAUGGUAAUGCAUAUGACUCCAAAUCAGAAGAUUGUGUGUUUGAGGCGCCAAUGCAUGUGCGCUAAUGCUACUGGCGCCUCCUCUUAUUGGUAUGUGGUUGUGCCAAUUUAUCUGACGCAUCAUCUACCAAAUUUGGUUAUUUUAGUAUUUUUUUUUUAAAAUUGAUUAUUUUAGAUUUUUUUUUGAAAAAUUUAAUUAUUUUGAAAAAAAAUUCGUAAACUCUUUGUAAAAUCUAUAUUUUAUUGUAGUGUAGUUAUUCACGGUUCAAUUUGCAAUAUGUUCAUGUUAAUAAUUUCAAUAUGAAAGUUUGAUAUUAUAUUGCAAUUGGAAAGAUUAUUUAGAUUCUUUUAAUAGAUGAAAAAAUCAAUUUUAUUCGAUGUGGUUUUUUUAUAAGAAAUUUCAUUUCAUGUGAUUUUUUUAUAGGAAAUCUCAUAGAUAUUUGAUUGUCAUUUUGGAAGAGGCAGAAACAAGUUUAAAGAUUUAUAAUUGAUUUUAUUUUAUUUGAAUAUUUUAAAAUAGAAUGGAUUAUGUUUCGACAAUUGAUCUAUUUAAGUUAAGAUUUGUAAUUUUUGAGUUUAAGAAUGAUUUUUACACUUAAAGGUAUUGUUUAGCGCACUUUUAUAUGAAUCUAUCAUAACAUAAAUUACAUUACAUUUAACACACUUUAAAAAAAAUCAAUUUUAUACAAUCAAUUUUCAAAAUUAAAUAUAUUAUUUUCAAGCAAAUCUACUGAGAAUCUUAGUUCUGAUAAUAUAUGGUUUGAAUACAUGUUAAUAAACCAUGAUAAUUCUUCUCUUAUAAAUUGGUUUUGUAAGAUUGAGUUAGAUCAAACCCAUAAAUUUUAUUAUGAUAUCAUAGUCUCGUUUAAGAUUCUUUGGACCACAUAUUAUGAGACUUCUUUCUAACCAUUUAUGAUCAUACUCUAGAUAUUUAAUCUUAAACGUGAGUGUAUUAAGAGUCCUACAUUAGAUAAUAUAUAAUCUAAAAGUGUGUUUAUAAAUAGAGAAAAUCUUCAUCUUAAAAGUCAAUUUUGUAAGAUUCAACCCAUAAUUCUAAGAGAGGAUAUUGUUGAUUAUAUUCGAUAAUAAGUAAUUAACAAAUAAAAAUAAGUUUUUUAUGGUCAAGUAAAUAAAUUAUUAGCCAAAGUAAAGUACACUUUAUUUUUGUCAUAAAGCUAAAAUAAACUAUUAGUUAAACGUACUAGCAUCACUGUUAUUAUACUAGUUUUUUCUUUUUUUGACACAACUGUUAUUAUAAUAGUUAGUUAACAAUCUUUAAUAAACUAUUAGUUAAAGAGAUUAAUAUCACGGUUAUUGUACUAGUUAGAUAACAAUGAGUAACAUAAAGCAAGUUUUAAAGUGAAGUUUCGAUGAAAUGCAAAAAUUAUAUAUAUUGGUUCAUAUAAGCAAAGCAACGACGAAAAGGACAUGAAAGCAAUGUCUUCUUUUUAGUUAAAAGACAAUGGUUUACACCAUAAUAUGGCUGCAAUAGGACAACAACUAAAGAGUUGGUGAAUUAUCAAGCCUAUAUGUAUUAUCUUCGACUCGAGAAUCAUUCUUGGAAAUCUCCCGGUUGUCUUAUAACGAUUGGAUUAUAUAUACGCCUAGUUCGAUCCCCUCACCCUUUUUUGAAUUUAAUCUAUAUUUUUUGUUUAAUUUCUUGGUAAUUGUUUUAAUUUUAUUUAUACUUUUUGGUUGUUAUGAAAACUUUUUCAAAUUUAUUUGGAUUUUUUUCUUUCUGUUCCUUAAAUAGAUUAUCGCGAGCCAUACAUAUUUUGUCGUGGUCUAAAAUCCUAUUUUCAUAAAACAAGUAAUUUUAUCAAUUGAUUAAUAAUAAAUAUACAAAAAAAUUAAAAUGAGUUCAUUUGGUCAUUGUUCUAAAUUGGAUCUAAGACUAAUAUGUUAGAGGCACCCGAUUUAGAAAUCCGAUGGUCUCGUUGGUGCUACAUGAUGAUAAUCAAACAUUGAUAUAGAAAUCAUGUUGAAUAUAUUCCUUUUUAAAAUCUAAAAUUCAUUCUAUAAUUACGAACCUCUAAUAUAGAUGAAAGAUACACUUUCACUUUUUUUAAAAAUCUAAAAUAAAGUGAUUCCUAAAAGUAGCAAGGACUAACGAGAACAACAAAAAUAACUGAAAGAAUGAUAUAAGGAGAACGUAGAUAAAUUAAACAGAUUUAAAUAAUCUUUUGAUCCUUCUAAAUUAAUGAUCUUUUUAUUAUAAUUUCUGUUUUUUUUGUUUGAGUCUCUAUAUCUCAAAUUUGUGUUGGUUUUAGUCUUUAAAAGUAAAAUUUGCAGGAAACUUGUGAAUUUUCCUGUAGAUUUUGACUUUAGAGACUAAAACCAAUACGAAAUGUGAGAUAUAUGGAUACAGACAAAAAAAAGUACAGGGACCAAAAUAAAAAACUUACUAACUUACAGAGGCCAACAAACUAUUUUAGUCGAUCAAACAACAUAAAACAACACCACAAAACAUAUAUCAAAACAACCCAAAAAGACAUAUUCCCUAUCGUUCAUCAAUGAACACAAGGGAAGAAAGAGAUCAAAAGAAAAACGACUCACCAAAUAAGGACAAGAUCAACAACUCUCCACCAAAAAGAAACAAGCUAGCCCUCAGCAUCUAGAACCACCAUUAACAAAAACAAAAUCAACCCAAAAAAAGGGAAAGAGCACACCAAAGCCAAGGUGAUAUGAUGAAUCACUCAAAAUGCUAUUAGCUCAUACACUAGAUAAGAUUCACCCGUGUAAGACCCCAAUUUUGACCCUAAGAUCCCUCAUGCAAAUCCAUCAUAAGCAUUGGCAUUGGGAUCAUGCCUUGGCAUCCUCCUUAUCCCUCUUUCAUUGGGUUUGUUUUAGGAGAGAUCAGCAAGCACUUUGUGAUUAUAUCAUACUUGUUUUUUUUUAUCAUUUCACUAACCAAAAUACCAAAAAUAUAUCUUUGCAUUUGUCUAACUCUUUUGUAGGUAGGGCAUUGAUCUCAUUUGAUUCAUCAAGUUCAUAUCUAGGGUUUGAGACCCUCAUGAACAAAGAGCACAACCAAGAAUUGAUUCAAGAAUGGUUAUGAACAUCAUAUAUGAGUCUCAAUGAUUCCUACAUGUUAUAUUGAUCAAGUUUUCUUCAAGAGUUUGAGGGUGAUUUGCCUUGGAAACCCUAGUUUGACUAGGUAUCUUGAGUAACUUCUCCAACAAGCUAUCUCACCAAUUGAUCAAAUUGAUCAAGGGAAACUUCAAAGUUCAUCAUAUUAUGCAUAUAUGAUCUACCAUGAGCCAAGAAAGUCAAGAGAAUUGGAAAUUAGCAAGUUGGUUGAUGGUGGUUGACCAGAUGAAUUCAUCUGAUUAAAACUGGGUCUCCCUAGAUCUUAUCUCCUACAAUUUUCACCAUAUGAAAAUGAUUCCAAGAUCAAACUUACUCUAAAUGACAUUCCAAACAACUUUCAUGUUGAUACCUAGAGCUAGUUUUUCUUGGAAAAUCAUCUUCUAUGUUGAAACAUUAUAGGUCAUUUUGUCUAAACCCUAAUUUGAAAGUCAACUUCCCAAGGCCAUAACUUGCUCAAUUUUUAUGAGAUGAAAGAUUUAAAAGUUGCAAAAUCAAAUUCAAUGUGUCUAAUUCAACUUUUAUGUUUGGAGUGGGAGCUAAUUCAACUUUUUUUAGCAUGUGAUAUGAGGCUACAUUAUAGGUCACUUUUAACCUAUACCAUUGAUCAAGUGAUUUUUCCAAACUUCAAAAAUGCAUAACUCUGUCAUUUCAAAUCCAAAUGACAUGAAAUUUGUGACUAUUUUAAAGUUCUUUGAGAUAGCUACAACUUUGAUGAAGACACUUUUCUCAUUUGAAACUCAUAUAAAAAGUUAAGAAAGGUCGAAUAUUGAGACAUAUGCUUGACACUUAGAAAAAUUUUGAUAUGUCAAAAAUUUCCAAACUUCCACCUCAAAUUUCUCCAAGUUCCAAGUUCCAAAUGAAAAAGUGUUGAACAUGAAAGUUGUUCCUCUUGAUCUCACCUUUCCAAAGAGCUUAAAUUCAUUCGUUUUGGACAAGAAAUGCAUAGGCUGCGCAUGGCUUAAAUAGGGUGACAUCACUUGGCAAGGAUCAAGCUUCAAACAUCAAUGUGCAUUUGCCUUGCAAUCCAAGCGUACUUCAGAGCAUCUGAUCUUCAAUUAUGGACCUCAAACAAUCAUUUCAUAGGCCUAUGCACGCCCAUGCACCAUUACAUCACCAUUUGCCAAAAUUGGAAAGUGAAUGUGAGUGUGCAAUUAUCAACCAUUCCAGCUAUAAAUAGAGCUUCAAUUGCUCAGAAAUACACACACAAUCGCGCCAUCUUUGAUCCCCCAUUUCAAACCCUCAAUUCUCAAAGGAUAAGCCUGAAAAAUUCUCUUGAAUUUGAGCUUGAAUCUCCAUUAUUUUGGAAUUCAAUUCUCCAGGAAUCCAUGGCUUUUUAACCAUUCAAUCCUUCUCCUGCAAGCAAGUGGAGUGAGUCCAAGCACAAGCAAGAUCAAGAUCCAUCGAAUCCAGACCUACAUUGAAGGUAUUUUUCUGAAAUUUUGAACUCUUCGAUUCUCUCAAAUUCUUGCUCAAUUCUAUUGAUUCUUUGGUUGUCUGAAGUCCUACUAAUGUAGGCAAGAAGAUUGAGUUGCUUUGAGGUCAAAUCGAAGCAACUCAGUUCAUGUACCUCAAAUUUCAAUUCCAUAUAUCUCUCAAUAUACCUGGAAUUGGAAUGAAUGAAGGUUAGAUUCGAGCUCAGUGCCGUUUUUCUUCAAGAUCAUGUCCUUGUUUUUCAUUAUGUUGAUGGUUCAUGGUGGACCAGUCCGGUGAGGUCCACCGGAGAAGAUGACCGGAGCUCUGGUUCUGACGAUGAGUUGGCUAGCAUCUGAACCACAGGAUCCAUGUGUUUUGUUCUAAUCCUGAGCGUUGGUUUUGAAUACCACAUUUGCUACGCGCUAACUAAGGUCCAUGGUGGAUAGCGCGCUAGGGACCAUCUGAUCUGCCACCUCAAUUAAUGAGGGAGAUCUGAUGGUCCACGUAAUUUGGAUUUUCUGAAUUUUUAUUUUAAUUGCAUUUUCUUCAAUAAUUCAUAUUAAAUUCAAUAUUUAUCCAAAAAAUAUGGGACUUUCACCAAAAAUUUUCAAAUAUUUUUCUCUUUCAUAUUCUGAAUUAAAAUUAUUUUUUUGGAUCAUUAUUAAUAUUUUUCAUGAAUUAAUUGAUUUUGCAUUUAUUUUUAAUUUUUUAAAAAUAUUUUUAAAUGUCCAAAAAAUUAUGAAUUUUUUUCUCCAAGGUCCUUUGACCUUGUUUGACCUAUGAUAAAUCUCAUGGCCAUUUCUUUGGUGUUUUGAUGAGAUUUUAGGAAUUGGACAAAACAUAUUUGAUUUAAAUGCACUAUUUUUAUUAUUUUAUUGAAUAAAUGCCAAUUAAAUUUUGUUGACCAUUUGUAUUGACUUGUAUGUUUGCGUAUUGUUGUUGGGCCUUGGUCAAGGUUGAUUUGACUUUGUCAAGUUAAUAUCAUUGAUUUAGGGGAUUGAUGGAAUGUACAUUCCAUCUCCCAAAUUGAAUGAAUGAUAUUAAUUUAAUAAAAAGUCCUCCUUUGACCAAUUUGUGAUCUCAUUCAUCCCCUUCCCACUUCAUCUCAUGCCUCUUCUUAAUUCAUUCAUUUCAUUUGGCCUAUGAUAUCUCAAAGUCCUAAGCUAGUUGAUUGAAAAAUUAACAUGAGUAUGGAUGAGAUUAGGCCACCCUUUUGCAUAUUUCUUUUUGUGUGUGGUAUGUUUCAUGAGCAUAGUCCAUUAUACUAUGUCUCUAACAUGCAUUAACACCAAAAUUCUAUUGCCCGGCCUCAAAUAGUUGUGACUUCUACAUAAGUCUAAUUUAGAUUGCUUAACAUAGCGCCUAAAUUUGUGACAUAAAAGGCAUAAGCUUAUAGUUAGUGAAUUGUAAGUCUCCCCUCUUUCAUGGUAUUGUGUGGAAACUUGGCCUUCUUUCCUUCCUUUGGAAGAUGUUUUGGUUCAAGGAUCCAUGCUUGUGAUAAGUGGGUUGAGUGUUCUCCAAAGAAUAUAUUGAAAUGAAAAGCAAAACAAAAUUAACUCCUAACCUACUAACUACUAACUUUUAAUUUCAUGAUUUUACUUUAAUGCAAUUUACUUUUAGCACUCUAUUUCAUUUGCCAUUGUUCAUAUCAUUCUAAUUGUUUAUGUUAAUGUAAUUUUCACUUUGUCCAUUUGGACCAUAUUGUGUGAUAUAUCUUAUUUGUAUAUACUUUGCUUGUUUGUGUGGUCUUUGACCAUUAAUGUACAUAAUAAUAACAAAAAACCCUAAAAAACUUUUGAGUGGAAUGUUGGCUUGAUCUUUAGCAAAUGGACUUAGAAUCUAGGCAACCUCCCUAAGCUAAAGGACUUGUCCAAUACCAACUUGUUGAAGAACCUAGUGCUUGCAAUUUGAACUUCAUCUGAUACCUCCUUGAAGAUCUCUCUAAGAUUCAUCUGCAACAUGAUCAUGGUGUAGCUGUUAUUUUGAACCUGUGACUUGUGGAAUUCAUUUGUUGCAUAGGCUAUUUUGAAGAAGAUCAUGGAGUGGAUAAGCUUGGAUGAGGCCAUCUUUAUUUGAUGCCUUGCUCUUCAAGAUAAUAUAAUUGUGCAUUUGUAUAUUGCUUGAUUCUAAAAAGUCCAAGGGAAUUCUGGGUUUCUAUUGAUAUACUUGUCUAUUGGAUUGCUACCCACUUGGUCAGAUCUUUUCAACUCUAAACUUUUAAUUUUUAUAUAUAGGAUAGUCUCUUCAUCUUCUCCCCAUUUCUUUAAUUUCAAAAUCUCUCCCUCCAUUUUGAAAAUCUUCUUUGUGUGAACUACUUUUGUUCUAAACUUUGACCACUUUUGCAAAAAGAUAGAAACUUUGGCCUUAUGCCAUUGCAUUUUCAAACUUCUUUUCUUAAAUCAAACUUGUAAAUAAAUCUAACUAUACUUUACUUAGACUUUCAAAAAGGCAAAAAGAAUUAACUCAUUCAAACUAUUUUAGGCCUUUGUGCCUUUCAAACUUAAAUUUUGUUAAAAUCAACACACUCAUUUUGAAUUUUGUAUCACGAACUACGAGAUUUUGAUCCCUCAUUUUUAUGUUGGUACGUAGGCACAAGACCGAAUGUCUUGUCAAACACAAAAAUAUAAUUAAUGAAUUCUUUUCUCAUCCCCCCAUUCUAUUUGUUUGUAAACAUCACUUUGUACAAAAACAUAUAUGCACACAAAAAGGGCUCCCUAGGAGUACCUAUGACACUUUGGGUGCUAACACCUUCCCUCUGUGUAACCAACCCCCUUACCUGUGAUCUCUGACUUUUAUUAGUUUUUAUUUGAAAACUUCUUACUCCCUAGGAGUACCUAUGACACUUUGGGUGCUAACACCUUCCCUCUGUGUAACCAACCCCCUUACCUGUGAUCUCUGACUUUUAUUAGUUUUUAUUUGAAAACUUCUUACUUUUUGGGUUUUGUUCGUACUUUUCCCAUUUUCCCUUGGAAACAAUAAAAACGCGGUGGUGACUCUUGUUAUUUGAUCUCUAGCUUGUCAAUAGCUUGACGAUCAUGAAUUUCCCGCUACAACCCACCAAUAGAAGAAAUGACAAAAUAUGUUUGAAGGUUUCUCGAGAUACCAUCUAUAGGCCAGAGCGAUGGACAUAUCUUCCAAGUUAUUGACGUUUAUAUAUAAGCCCCUACAAAAAUCAAAUCAUUCUUAGACUUAUAGAUAUACUAAAUCACUAUAUGUCAAACCAUAACAAAACUAUCUCUUAACUCAAGAGAACUAGUUGAGGAAAUAAAAAUCUCACACAAAACCAACAUAUUAUUAAGGAGAAUCAAAGGUAACUUUAACCACAUAGAUAUCCUAUACCACAACUCAGAGGUCACCCUACAAGUAACAAAGAGGUGGGAAGCCGACUUUACAUGACCCCCCCCCCCCCUUCGAAAUACCACAUGAAGCCAAUGAUAAAUAAAAAACAACACCCCUCUUCUACAUGUUAAGCCUAGAAGAAAACUUAUCCAAAAGGAUCUUCUAGAAGAAAACAACAACCUUUAGAGGGGCCAAACUCACUCAAAAACAAGACACCAACCAACCUCGUCUAAUCAAGGGCAAAUAAGCCCCUAAAUUAGCCGCAAUGAGAAAAUUAUAAGUCGAUGCCAUAAUGUAAACACCAUUUUCCCGCCCUCCCACCACCAACAGUCAUUGUCUAAGUUAAUAUUAACACCUUUAGUAACCUUAUAAACUCCUUCACAAAAGCAUUCUCCCAAAAAAAAAUGGCAUACACCACUGAAACUGUCAACUAACCUGGUUGUUAGAACUGAUCUUCCAAUAUCUAUAUCUCUGUAUGUACAAAUCUUUCUCCCAUAUCUAGAACUCCACAAGAGCUGUAACACCCCUUUUUCUACCCCAAAAUACUUAACAUAUAAUCAGAGUAAAUAAGCACGCAUAUAAACAAAAGGGCGUCACAUCGACGUUUUCAAAAACUAAAAGCUUUCAAAAACCAACAUCAUAAACACCCCUUUUUCUACCCCAAAAUACUUAACAUAUAAUCAGAGUAAAUAAGCACGCAUAUAAACAAAAGGGCGUCACAUCGACGUUUUCAAAAACUAAAAGCUUUCAAAAACCAACAUCAUUCAUCCUCGAUAUACAAUACACCUGGUCAUUUAAAACAACACAUUUCAAUUAUCAUGAAUAUUCAAGAAUAUGCGUUCGCAGCGGAAAAUAAUGAAUAAUCAUGUAUUUCAUAAAAUGAUUCAUGUCCCAUACCAUGAUCAUCUCUCAAUAAUCUCUUCAAGAUAAGAUAAAACCAUAUUCCAGAAUAUUUGGCAUUAUAGCCUCUCAAACAACAAAUGCAAUUAAACAUGUUCACAAGUAAUAACAUAAUACAUAUCCAAAUAAGAUAUGAGUUCAAUACUACCAAUCUACCCAGUGUUACAUGACCUGAGCAUUGACUCACUACCUAGUCUCCAAACUAAAACACGGAAACUCUCCGGCUAAUCUCGAGUAAGCUACCUUCCACUUACUUCAGCAAUACUACUCUUGAGUAUCUGCACGAUGCCCAUCUAAAGCAACAUUCAAAUAGAAGGGUGAGAAUUCAAAUCAUUAUGAAGAAGUAUAACAAAGCACAAUGAUUAAAUCAACAGUUAACGGAAUUCAUCACACCUUGUAUAACCAUGUCAAUAAUAUUAACCAACAUUUAUUUCACAUGUUUCAAGCAUACAUCAAAACUCAAGGAGUAUAACAUUAAAAUCCAAUACUAUAUUCUCAAUUAUACACAUAACUACAAUUAUCACAUAAUUACAUAUUUUUCCAAGUUAUGUAUCCAAACAUCACCAAAUUCAAUUACCAUAUCUCAUACACACAUCACAAUCACAACAAUGCAUCCAUUCAAUUAUCACAUAACUCUAAUGUGACUCAAUGCAAGACAUGUGACUCUAUGCAUGUGGUACCGCAAUGUGAACCCAACGUUUCACCGCUUUCUCUAAGUUAUAGAUCUUAGGUUCGGUGCGAAGCGAUCCGGACAAGAUCAAAGCCACUACGUCUAUUUCCAAUUAAGGAUCAACGUCUGCUACGCCUAUUUCCAAUUAAGGAUCAACGUCUAUGUGAACUCACAGUUUCACCGCUUUCCGAUUCAAUAUCUAGAAUCCAAGCCACUACGUCUAUUUCCAAUUAAGGAUCAACGUCUGCUACGCCUAUUUCCAAUUAAGGAUCAACGUCUGCUACACCUAUUUCCAAUUAAGGAUCAACGUCUGCUACGCCUAUUUUCAAUUAAGGAUCAACGUCUAUGUGAACCCACAGUUUCACCGCUUUCCGAUUCAAUAUCUAGAAUCCAAGCCACUACGUCUAUUUCCAAUCAAGGAUCAACGUCUGCUACGCCUAUUUCCAAUUAAGGAUCAACGUCUAUGUGAACCUACAGUUUCACCGCUUUCCGAUUCAAUAUCUAGAAUCCAAGCCACUACGUCUAUUUCCAAUUAAGGAUCAACGUCUGCUACGCCUAUUUUCAUUCAAGGAUCAACGUCUAUUACCAUGUGAACCCACAGUUUCACCGCUUCCACCAUGAAGCCGACCAUGCCAUGAAUGAAUGUACAAAUACCAACACAUAUGCAAAAUUCUAGUAGAGAUGGUAGAUAACAUUCCACAUAUCACCAUAAUUCACCUCUAUGAAUUAUCCACCAAUGGUACAUAUACACAUUCAUAACAAUAUAUCAUUCACAAAUAUAGGCUAAUUAUCAAACACACACACUUAGAUUUCAUUCAAAAUGAAUACAAAUUUUACAAUUCUUCAUUUUUCAACAGUGUUAACCGGUUAACGCGAGACAGAAUGCACUUCCUGGCAGAUUUUCAACAGUGUUAACCGGUUAACGCUUUUGGUUAAUCGGUUAACGCAAAACAGAACACAAUUUCUGACAGAUUUUCAACAGUGUUAACCGGUUAACGCAAAACAGAAUCAACUUCUGGGCAGGUUUUUAGCAAGUAACCGGUUAACGCUCUUAGGGUAACCGGUUAACGCAAAACAAAAUGCAGAAUUUUCUGCAUUUUUCAUCGUUGGAGGACUUUCGGACCUCCAAUUUCGAUUCUGUAAAAAGCCAAACACUCAGAAAAUUAUAACUCAUACAAUACGCUAAGUAUAUAAGGUUAAUUUACAGUUUUAACAUAAUUAAAUCACCACAAAUCAAGAAUACUCAUCAAAACCUAACAAUUCCAAAAACCAUGAAAUUUAGGGAUUUCAACGUAAAUAUAUUUCUAUCCAUUGACCCAAUCAUACUAACCCAUAAUAAUAAGGAUUCUCCCCCUUACCUCUUCAAUUUUCUGGAACCUUAGCUUCUCUCUUGUUCUUCCCCUCUUCUCCUUACUUUUCCUCUUUUCUUUCUCUAUUGCCGUCAAAUGAUCAAAUGAAUCCUACUUCUCACUCUCCUCACCUCUUAUAUCAUAGUAUUAUAUUUGGGCUUAAAGAAUGAUACCUCUAAUUUAAUUAUUAGGCCCAAUAAUACCUAGUAUUAUAAUAUCUCUAUUUAAUUCAAAUAAAUUAAACCAACUCAAUAUCCACACCAAGUUAAUUAAUUCAAUUAUUCAUUAUAUCUCAUAUCAACUAAAUAAUUAAUUAACAACACCAAAUUAAUUAAUAUAAUCAAUUAUUAUACUACCUAACAACCAAUUAAUUAAUUAACACUCUAAAUAAAUAAAAUAAAAUAUAAUAAUAAUAAUAUAAGAAAUAAAUAUUAAAAUUGGAUUGUUACAAGAGCAUUCUCUCAACUGAUCUCGUAACUGUCGCAUCCACCUCAAUUUUUUUUAUAAAUAUUAAUUAAUAAAAAAUGAGAAAAUAUUUUUGAUAUAAAAAUAUGUCAAUUUUUCGUACAAUAGUCUUCAUUCUCUCAUCAAACUCCGUAUAUAGUUGCAAAGCAAAUGUAUGCAACUAGUAUUUUUUUCUUGAAAACUUGAUUUUCAAUUCAAAAGCCACACCGCGUUUGCAACAUUACUUGAAAUCACAAACUUUCUCAUUGUGUCGAUACCAAUAAAACUAAAAAUAAAUGAAAUUUCCCUAAUUGAUGUGACCUUGGUUUUGACUUGGAAGUCUUCUAGGAAGACUUCAACAAGUCAUUUUUAACUUUUUGAAGUAAAUCAUGAUAUCAAGCCACGUUCGUUCCUAUCUAUCAAUUAUAGUACUACUUUCUAAUUUCUUCUAGUACCACUCUUGAAUCUUAUAGCUUUUACCAAAUCAAAGUCUUACAAAAUUGUUUACUACAAAACUAAAGGGCAACUUCAUCACCUCUUUCCACGAAUUUUCUUCAUUCCCUGCUUCAUAGGUUCCUUAUUUCCUCUUAUAUAGCAAAUUUGUCACAUGUAAGGGUGUAAUUCAGAAAAAACAAAGUGGGAGUGUUCUUGCACUAUAAUACUAUAUACUAUAGCACAAACUUUAUACAGGAAAAAUACAAGUAUGUAUUAAAGUUCUUUAGUGAGGAGGAAAUUUCGUAACAAGCAAUUCCAAAUUUAAAUAUUUUAAAUUUGAUAUCAUUAUGUCGGAGAUCUUCUCUAUUUUUAUUUUAUUUAAAUAAAGAGUUUUAUAUAGGGAUAUAAAAACACAAAAGAUUAAGAAAAUAUAAACAAUUAAAUAAUGAAAACGAUUCGUGUUGUGUUAUCUAUUUUGUGUCUUUUCCUCUCUAUAUUGUGAAUGUAUGAUUUGAUACAUAGGUGUGAUGGGUUCUACUACACGAUACACAAAUAAAAUUACUAUAUUAAAUUCUAAUGAUUUUAGAUGUUUUUUAUUGAAUAAAAAUAUUAGUUGAUUUUUCAUAUAAAAUUUAUUAUAAAGUUUUAUCAUGUUAUUUUAAUGUUCACUUUAACUAAUAGAAUACCCGUGCGGACGGACGGAUAAAUUUAUUUAAAAAAAAGUAAAUUUUGAUAUAAGGAUGUAGAAUUUUUUCUUAUUUUUUUGUUAAAAGAGUGGAAAUUAAAAGUAUGUUGAAGUAUAAUAUUUUUCAUAUUUCAUAUAUUGUGCAUAUAUUAGUAUAGGAAAAUGGUUAAUUAAAUGAGAUUGGUCAUUGUAUAGUUUAGAUUUGUUCAUUGUUAGUUUAGCAUGGAAAUGCUUCCUAGGAAAAACUCAUGUAGAGGUAAUAGUAUAUAAGAAAUAGUAAAUAUAAGGAAGUAAUUAUCUAACAUUAAACAAAAAGUCAUGUAGAUUUAGUAGUAUAGAACAUGAAGUAGUACAUAAAAUAAAUAUUAAUAAAUAAAAUAAUUGUUUAGACCUAGACAAUAUUAUGAAAAACUCUUUUAAAGACAAUAUUAGUUGUUUGAGAUAAACUUUUGUUGUCCUUAUCAUGAAUUAAGAUUUUCAAUCCAUCCUUACUCUUGACUCUUGACAUUAUUGAUAACAUGAAAUAAUAUCAAAUUUUUGGACUUGAUUUAAUUAAAUUAUAUUAUUAUUUGAUUUGAUUUAUUUUAUAUUAUUCGAUAUUACUUGGUAUUUUCCUUCUAUUUAUUUCAGGUAACAUUAUUUGAAGCAUACGUGAAAAAGAAAGAAAAGGGGGUGCAAAAAGAGGAUUCCCUAAGGAAAAGCAUUCCACUAAAGUCCAACCCACAAGGAAAAGCACUGAGACGUGUGACGACCGCCACACAAGGUGUGACGAGCGUCACGCUCCUCUGCUUAGUGUUACGAGCGUAACACAUGGUGUGACGAACGUCACACCCCAUUCCUAUUUUUUUGGCUUUGACGCGUAACAAAAGCACGUUCGCCCUUUUCUUCGCUUGACUAGUUGACGCAUACUGAACGAACUUUGGAAGAAACAGUUACUUUAUGGAUGAAUAUAAAUAGACCCAAUUGUGGAAUCCUGCAGGAGACUCACAUUUUUCCAGUUUUCGGUACCGUGCAUUAUUUUUCCUGCUUUUUAAUUUUUCAGCACUCUACUUUCUUAGUUUUUUUUCUUUUCUUUUCCAGUCAAUUUCCAAAGCAUUGAACUUAUUUUUUUUUCACACUAGUUUCUACACCGGAAACUAUUGUGUACUUUUUACUGGAUCUAACCUUACGUUAGGUCAUAGUAUUUUAUUCCUUCGUCUUUAUUUUCCUGUCGGAUCGAAGAUUGUAAGAACAAAUCCAACCGACCUGUGGUGGAGUGUUCAAGCAUCGAAGCUAGGGGAUAACCAAGAUUUCUAUUAAUUUUACAGGUUCAUUAAUUUAUUGUUUUAAUUUAUAUAUGCUCUGCACUACUGUUUAUCUAUACUGUUUGUCUGAUAUGGCUGUAUUUAAGCAUAAUUAUUGUUUAGGCUUGUUUAGCAUGUCCGGCUAAAUAAACUUAGAUAUCGGUAUGUACAAUAAGCGGAAUAAAGGAAUCAAAACUAAGUUGGUUUAAAUUUAUUUAAAAAUACAAUCACUCUUUUUAUGGUCUCAAUUUACAGAGUUAAUACCAAAGUUUUUGUACGAGAGUAAAAGACAUAAAGAAGUUAAAAUCAAUAGAAUGACGGUUUGAGCUUUUAACUGGACAAUGUAAUUUGGACAUUAACUUUAAAUCAGGGCGAGAGCAAUUUUUAAGGUUAAUUAAAUUCUAAUAAUUUUCAAAAAGUAUUUUUAAAGGUUAAAUGUGAGGACGAGAGUUAAGCAUUUAAGUUUAAUCAUAUAAUCUAAGUCAACAGAGCGAGAGUUUGAGACGAGGGUGUUUAAACGGUUAGUAUUUUCAAAAAGAGUUCUAAGAUUCUAUUGCUUUCAAAAGUUGAUUUUAGACUAACUAGAUAGUGGAGAGCGUUACGUUAGUUUAAAGUCAUAGUUUUAUUCAACAGAGCAGAGAGUUUGAGAAGAAGACUUUUAAUGCAAUAGUGGUCUACUGAAAAGAUUUAUCUUAAACUAAGAAACCAAGCGAAGAUUUGAUUCCCUAAUAUACGCGGAACUACAUUACCGAUUAUCCGUGUUAUUUGAUAUUUAAUCUAGAUCCAAUUUGAGUUUUACUUUCCCCCCUACAAUCAUCAAAGUAUCAUCCGCCUUAGCUUUACGAAGUAACCUUAGAAAAACGGUAUAUCGAUUCAUUAAGUCCCUGUGGGAUCGAUAUCUUUUAAAACUACGCGAUUAGACUGUGCACUUGCAGUUAUCACCCCAAUAGACUCAUAAAGUCGCGAUCAAUUAUCACAUAGAAUUGAUCGUGACUGAAGACAACUUUGGGCAAAUACAAACCAACAAAGUCUAAAAAUUGUCCUUGAGAUUUGUUUAUUGUCAUUGCAAAUGAAACAACAAUUGGAAACUGCCUUCGAAUAAGUUUGAAUGGCCAAGGAGAUUGAGAAGGAGAUAAAGACAUUCUAGGGAUGUAAAUAGUAUUUCCCGAAGGAGAAUAACGAUCCAAAACGCAGCGAUUUUUUUUUCUCCUUUAGUGAUCCUUACGAAUGAGCAUGAUUAGUGAUAAAAUUGUUACCUCUUGUGGCGAUUGAAACCUUUGAUUCAGAUCUAAGGAGCGAUCACGAACGUUGAAUGGUGACAACGCCUCUACUCAGUCCACACGAACAAAUUCCUUCAGUCUCAGUGCUAGCUGCUACGAAUGAAUGCUUUGAGUGAGUGAGUGAGAGAGAGAGAGAGAGAGAGAGAGAGAGAGAGAAUAGCUGCUACGAAUGAAUGCUUUGAGUGAGUGAGUGAGAGAGAGAGAGAGAGAGAGAGAGAGAGAGAGAGAGAGAGAGAGAGAGAGAGAAACGAAAUUUCAACUGUACAAAUGCUUCUGCAUAAAGAUUCUAUUUAUAGAACCACUUGUGUGGGAUGUAAGCUAAAAAGUCCACUUAAGUGUAUGCGGCCCAUAUCUUAUGAUAUACCAAAAUCACUUAAGCGCGUGGUACCUUACCAUAUUUCAUAUUCUACUCAAAUGCACCUUACCUUACGAUGUUCUACAAUUCACUUAAGUGCACCGUACCUUACGGUGUUCCUAAUUUACUCUAUCUCUCAUCAAUCCGUCCUUUUGUGUGUGACCCUGUAGGUUUUCACGACAUUGACAAUUAUAUUAAAUCACGUAUUUAACAUAAUAAAUAGUGAGCGGUAUCUAGGAACACAUCACUACUUCCCAAGACACGAAAAUGUCAUGUGAUCUGACAAAUCCUUUUGUGAUAAUACUUGUGUGUACAAUUACCCUUUUACCCUUAUGUCUAUAUUGAACACAAGGCAUUGACCGUGUCAUCCUUGUUCAGUUUGUUAGACUAUGGCACGGAUCUAGAAGGGGGGGUUGAAUAGAUCCCAAUUAAAAACUUGAGUCGGCGCUACCAAUUUGAGAGAAAAUUGGUUUUGAAAAUUUAUUUUGAAUGCGGAAGCGGCCGAGGAAAAUUUUAGUCUAAAACGAAUCGUUAUUGGAAAACCGAAUAUGCGUUAAGCUAAUGGAUUAGAGAUAAAAUGAAAUACUAAUCACUACACUAUUUGCACACUCAAUUGAUAUAUUUCACUAACUAGCAAGCCUAGUUCCAAUGAUCCAAAAUACCAAAUUUAAACAGAGUGCAAACUUAAGACAACUUUGGCUUAUGCAAAUUCACAAACACUUGGUGUGCAUACACUCCAAGAGAUAUUUGAGUUGAGUAAGUAAUUCAAAUUUAUCUAGUACAAUAUACUAUUGUACUUUGUAUUCAAACAACAGUUUUAGUUUCUUACUCAACUUAUAUCAACGUUUGGUAAAAUUGCUUAAACUAAAAUCACUUAAUUUUUAAGCUGAAAAGCACUUAUGCAGAAAAUUGAAGGAGACAGAGAUUUGAUGAGGCAGUUCCCCCGCCGUCCUCGCUUCGGGGUACGUCUGCCCUCAAUUCUAAAAUUAGAAUUGAGAUGAUUAAUUAGAUAUAACCUGUGAAAUUUAAUCGUUUUUACAAGGAUUGCAAAGCAUGUAAACAACAGAACUUCCAAUGUGUUGAAUGAUGCUUCCUAUCCUUGCUCCUUGAUUCAAGAUGAAUCAAGACCUUCGAUCGUUGAUGCUAGACCUCCGAUUCCAGCCCCUUUGUUGAAGAAUCUUCCGUUCUUCAAACCCUCGGCCCGGCUGAUCUCAAACACAACGAGUCGAACCCGAAUCCUUCACUUCAAUGCCACCGAAUCCGCUACUAGACUGAUGAAGACUUCCCCUUCUCAAUCACCUUCGCUCGGCUGAAUAUUGAUGAAGCGAUUCGUCCAAAAACCCCCAAACACAAACCCGUAUUGGAGGACAAAACCCUAACGGUUUUAUUCAAGAAAGAACCUGCCACAAGCUUCAACCCGAACCGGAUUCUUCGAUCACAGCUUCGAACCUUAUCACCUUUAAUCGAUCACGAACCACAUCAAAAAUGAUUGUGUGUAGUUGAUGUGUUGUGAAACGUUGAAGAUGAAGAUGAUGAGUCUUGGACACCUUUUUCACUCUUUCUUGUUUCCUUGAACACUUGAACUCAAAUUGGCAAAUGUUAGUUGAUAAAAGUGUUUUGACUUCUAUAUAUAGUAACUGACAAAACCAAUCAAAAAUAACAGAAUUUCAAACAGUGGAAAUAACUCAGAAAACUGAGUUUACGCACGAGCGGUCGACCAUAGGUCGGCGUGCGCUGAGCCGUGAGUGAUGCGCCGACCCCUAUGGUCGACCCAUGGUUCCAUGCGCUGACCCAGGAUAGCAUCAUUAUGCUAUGCGCUGACCUCUGGUCGACUCAAGGGAUUUUUGCGCUAACCCGUGAGUUAUGCGCCGACCCUUAUGGUCGACGCAAAGAAGCAUGCGCUGACCAAUCUCAGUUCUGCUGAGCUUUGCGCUGACCCGUGAGCUUUGAGCUGACCCCUAUGGUCGACUCAAGGCCUUCAAAUCUGCAUAAAACUGUGUUUUGUGAUUUUCAUGCAUUUCGUCAUGAUCACACUUUGUCCACAUAUGUUUUUGAUCAUUAUAAUAGGUUUAGACAAACGUAGAAAAGGAUAUGGUGGGUAAUGUGUUUCAUUUGUUUGUAGACGUGCAUGAUGGUCUUUUGUCAUCAUCGAAACUUGCGAUCGUAUGUUGUCUGACUCUUUGUCUUUACAUACUCCCCCUUUUUGAUGAUGACAACCUGUAUAAAUCAACGUGACAAACAGCAUGCGGUAUUGACACAUUUUGCACACUCCCCCUUUCUUUUGUAAUCUAAGGCUAUCUGCAGAAAGCUACUGUUAGUUGUGGGCAUUUUUGUCUGCCUGCUUUGUGCACUUUUCUCCCCCUUUGACAACAUCAAAAAGAGAGACAGAGUGAUUAUUCAAGAUAACAAGGAAAUUUCACAGGAAAUAACAUAAACAGAUAAUAAUAACACACCAAUGUCAUUUCUUAGCAAUAGUCAUUUAUUAAGAACAAGUAAAACAUAGAAAUACAUUCAAAAUAACAAUCAAACUACAAGGUGCAUGUGAAUGUCUAUGUCCUAGUGGCGGUGUCCUGGAUGAUAACAAAUGCCCGGGUUUUUGUAAGGGUCAGCCAGAGAUGAAAGGUAUUCGGUGUCACCGUUCAGAUGCUUGAGACUCUCGUCGAUUGACUUUUCCUGAAGUUCAAAUGAAGCCAAAAAGGUUGCAAACCGGUCAUUCAUGCUUGUAGAGAAGGAGUCGAGACGCUCAUUUUGGGCUUGAAGUAGCUCGUUGAUGUGAGCAUAGCGCUCAUCUUGAGCUUGCAUGAAGGACUGUUGAGCGAUCUGCAUAUUGCGCAUCAUAUCCAACAGUUCUGAAGAAUCUGCUUGCUGUGGAGGGGACGGAGGAGAUUCUUCCUCAUCUUGGUGAUACGGCUGGUAAAAUUGACGUUGAGUUGACCAGCCCGUAUGUUGCCAUUCACCCCAGCCACCCCAGCGUGGAACAUCUUCUUCAUUUGUAUGCGACUGCUGAACCCAAGCCGAGCCGGAGUAGUCAUGAGUGUCAACGGGUGGAGGACUAUCAUCUCCACCAUUGUGAUCAAAAUCGUGCCUGGCUUCUUCUUCUUCAUUUUCUUCUUCAUCUUCUUGUUCUUCGCUUUCAUCACUGUCAUCAUCUGCAGGAACAUUUGCUCUUCGAAUAAACUUAUACAUUCUCCGCUCAUUGCACCAAAGAUAUCCCAUCAUAGACAUAGUUUUUGUGCUGAACUCUUUGUCAGAUGAGAUGGAAGUGUACGGGAAAGACGGAUGAUUAACGUUGGCUGCAGUCAGGACCUCUUGAAUGAAGGAUCCGUAGGCAAGAGCCGUUCCUCGUCCGGAGUCACGUAGCCCAAACAUUCUACUGGCAAUGUAGUACGGCCAGUUGAUUUUUAUCUUAUUUUUCAGAAUGUAAAUCAGAUGAACCUCGGCCGGUUCGACUCUGGAGAGUCCGCCCUUCUUUGGUCGCAGGAUUCGUGAGACAACCCACUGAAGAAUCCUUUCUCCGGCUUUCAGCUUGCCGGCAGUGACAGUUCGUGGGAACGCGUCACUGUUCACAAACUGAUCAGGAUAGGGUCGUCUCAGCAUGUCAUUCAAUGCACUCUUAAACUCAUAGCCAUCUAUGUGGUGAGAGUCAGUUACCUCAGGUAGAGGGUUUCCAGCAUUAUCAACAGACAUAUCAAAAUAUUGGUUUCAGAUAUUUGAUUUAAGUGAUACCUUUGUCGGACCAAUUCUAGAGUGAAACUUGUGCCCGCGAAAGUUGUCAUGAAGGCCGGCAUAGAACACUCGAACAAGGUCUUCACUGUAUUUAGUAUUACAUUCCAAGAAGUUGAUAAAGCCCUGAUGCUACAGCAGAGCCAGGACUUCAGGAAGGUGCAUGCGUUCAGCUGCAAGUUUGUAGAACGCAUGUUGUUGCACAACUCCUCUUUUGCCGAAAUCUCUGUUGAAGGCUUCGACACGAGCGGGUGGAACGAGUGAUACAGCAGAUAUGGGGAGAGAUGCGGCGGAUGAUUCUCGGGAUCUCUUGCCGGAAGGUCUGCGUGAUGUGGAAGCCAUUUGAGCAAGUGUGAAACUGAGUGUUUGGGUAUAGAGAGAAGGUUUAAGAAAGGUUUUAAAAGUGAUUCUGCUAGAGAGAGGUUUCUCCCAAUUUAUAGUGGAAAGGUUAGGGUUUUGGGAAGAUGGAAGAUCAAAGAACAAUAGCCACUAGGUAGAUGCAAGUUACAAAGUAGUGGGUAGUUUGAAAGGUGAUGGAAUGUAAAUGCACACUUAAUGAUGAUUUUUGAAUGGGAAUGCAUGAAAAACGAUUUAAAUUUUUCUGCAGAAAAACGAAAUUUUCGAGCGAUGCGUCGACCAUAGCCCUGUAUGCGUCGACGCAUACUGUUUGGUUUUUGAGAAAAUGCAGAAAUUAUUUAAGCGUGCGUCGACCAUAGCCCUGCUGCGGUCGACUCAUACAGUCCAAAUUUCA
RNAcentral lists this long non-coding RNA (58605 nucleotides) under Lathyrus oleraceus (garden pea). RNAcentral describes it as "Pisum sativum (pea) long non-coding RNA (PSAT_LNC030814)". Lineage: Eukaryota; Viridiplantae; Streptophyta; Magnoliopsida; Fabales; Fabaceae. The record is from RNAcentral.